CGCGAGAAAGGUGAUAGUUUGGCUAUAGGACUUUACCCGUAUUAGCGUAACUCAAAACAAUUUGCAAGAGUUGAAGGAAAUCUGGGAUUAGUGGAACGAUAAGGUUAAACAACUAUUCUACUCUAAUUAUAGUGAUUUGCCUUAUCUGCUUGAUAUGAAGAUAGACAAGCACCUAUUUCGGCUCUCACCCAGUUUUGGAAUCCUACUUACAGUUGCUUCACAUUUGGGAAGGUCGAUUUGGUACCUAUAAUAGAAGAAUACAUGGCUUUACUUCGGUGUUCGAAGAUUCAAGUAGACAGAGCCUACUCGAGAGUUGUAAAGGUACCGACCUUUUUGAAGAAGCUGAUGAAUAUAAUCGGGAUGAACAAAUAGUGGGUUGGAGCCCGAAUCAAGCAAAAAGGGGAUAACAAGUGCAUUCCCUAAAAGAGCUUGAAUGAUUUAAUUCUAGCACACCCAAAUACGAAGAAGAGGGUUGAUGUCUUUUCUUUGAGUAAAUAAUGCUUAGUUGGAUUCCUUAAAGCUUUAGGGCACGUUGGUGAAGCAGUCACUGAUUUAUUCGACCGUCUUGAUAAGAGGGUUACAACAGUCCUGACGAUUUUGGCAGAAACCUUCAGGUCAUUGAAUGCAUGCCAGAAAGUGGGUGAGGGUAGAUUCAUUGGAUGUGCACAGCUCCUACUCGCAUGGUUCCACAGUCACUUCUGUAAGGUUGAUAGGGUUUUGUAUCGGGUCUUCUCUGAAAACUAUUCACCACUGAAAGAGAUAGUAGCUACACCAAUGAGGGAUGACAUCUUAGAGGAGAAAUGGAUGGCAAUUCUUUAGAAUCUUCAGGAAGAGGACAUCGAGUGGAGAGCUUCUUGGUGCUUCUGGAUGAGAUCUUGUAUCGAUGCAGUGAUUUUAAUUUGGAUCCUCUGCUUGCGAUUUGGAGAGCUGUUGAUUAUGCCCCAUUGCUAGUACUCAGGUAGUAUAGGUCAAGGCAAUUUAUACCCGCAACCCAGGGAAUAGCUGAGUGUAAAUUCUCAUACAAGGGCGAUGGUUACAAAAAGAAUAUUCGAGAGAUGUCCAAUGCAUGGAACCAGACUCGCCGAAUUAAGAGAUUAGCUGUGAGUCCAAUGACAACUCCUGAGCAUAAUGAAUGGUGGUUUAGGAUGAUCAAUGAUAAUAUCCCCAAGCCAAGUCAGGGAAACAGUCAGUCAAUAGAGGAACAUUUGCGGGUUGUCCUUUCUAAGCUAGAAAUCAUAAGACAAUAUUUUGAAAGAAGAAAUACAGAAUUAGAAAAGAAGAUAGAACAAAUGGAAGAAGAAAAGAUGAACUUGAGAUUAGACAUGGAUGUUCAGAAACUCGAGGUCGAGAAAUUAAGAAAAGGAAAAAAUAAAGCUGAGGAGGAUUUUGAUAGCUUGAAGAUAGAUUAUAAGAAGCUGGGACUGUCAAUAAGAACUGCUGGUUUCGGAAAAACUUUAGAGCAGUGGCGUAAAGAGAUUCGAAAAGAAAAGAACAAGGCCGAUAGAUGGGAAAGAAAAUUCCAAGAGGUUCAGACACGAAAUGAGGCUUUAGAGAAGAGUUUGUUAGAGAACCGAAAGGAAAAAGGCAAACUAAAGGAUAGAGUGGCUGAGUUAGAAAGAUCUCUUCGUCAAUAUGGAAAUCAGGAUUCUGCGAUAGAUUUGAGAACGAGCUUAAGCAGGAUUGAAGAAAUGAAAAAAGAAUAGAAGAGUUAGAAACGACAUUGCAAAAUUGUGAGAUCUGGAUCGAGUACUUGGAAGAAAACGAAGAUCGUCAUAAUGAGCAGCUUUACUACUUUCAAAAUCAAGUUAGAAACAGGGAUCAUAUUAUGGAGAAGUCGUAGUUCAGAUUCGAGAGGUAGCUGAUCACCUACAGACUUUGGCAAUGCAGGCCGAUACGCUAAGUGUGAAGUAUGAAUUGAAAUCAGAUCGACGGCAAGAGUUAGCCUCGUUACUUAGGAAGAUUAGAGUUCUGAGUAUUAGGGCAAAGCCUUAUUUGUAGCCCAUUGUAUGUAAAAAAAUUAUUUUCUAGUAAAGUUUUUUAAAUGGAAUUGAAUCAGAAUUGACGCCUUUUUUUCCAUUCAUUUCAUUGCAUUGCAUCAUACGUGUCGAAACCUCUUUUUUUGAAAAAAGACAAUCGUCGACUUAAAAAAAAAUUGGAGUCGCCACCAAUCUUUUAUUAAGGUGUGAUCAGUUCACCUUGAAAACGAUUUUAGGUCUACGAAUUUUGAGAAAAUAGGUUCGGGAGUCAGUUACACACGAGGAAGGGUUAGCACCCUUGUAACGCCCAAAAUCGAUAUCGAACUGAUUGUUUAAUGUCUUGGUGUCAAAAAUUUAAAAAGAUUUUAAAAGAAACUCAAAUGAUGAAAUCUGAAAAGGAUAAUCAAUUGUUUAAGUCAGACGAAGAAAUCGAGACCCAAUACGUUAGAGUACGAUUUCUCAAAAUCCCCAAACUUUGAAUAUCGCCUUUAUUUUAUAAGAAAAUCUUCAUCUCGAGAAAGCAAUAUGUUAUGCCCAAUACGUUAGGACACAACAAGUUAAAUUCCCGAAAAUGAUCUUUACAUUUAUGUGUUUUGAAAAAGCUAUGCUCGAUUAUUUAGGUUUAACAUGGAAAAUUGGAACCCAAUACGUUAGGGCUUAAUCUUCUCGAAAAUCCCAAAUAUUAAGAUCGCAUUAUCUUGAAAGCCUUUAAACAAAAAUGAUUUUAAUGCUUUGAUGAAAUCAAGCACAUUUUUUUAAAAGCAUGAUAAAAUGUUAAUAUACAACAUGAAACACAUACUUUAAUUUAAAUUAUAUAUGUAUAUGUGUUUACAAAAUAUGUAUAUAUAAGUAUGAUACAUAAGUAAAUUUUGAAAAUAUGUAUAUGCAUAUAUUAAAACAUAUAUAAGUAUACAUAUAAAAAAGGAAAAAAAAUGAAAUAUAUAAAACAAAAAAAACUUAUAAUAAUUUCUAAGAAAAUAUGUAUGUAUAUAUAUAUGUAUGUGAAAAUUAUGAAAAUAAGAUAAAAAAUAAAAGUAUGUAUAUGUGUAUAUAUUUACAAAAAUAAAAAAUGUAUUAGUAUAUAUAUUGGUAAAUCAUGAAAAUAUGUAUAUGUAUAUAUUUAAAAUAUGUAUAUAUAUAAGUAUAAUAUGUACAUAACAAAUGACAUAUGCAAAAAAAAAAACAAAUAUAUAUAUUUAUAAAAAUUUAGAGUAAAUAAAAAAUGUACGUAUAUACAUAUUAUAAGAAUGUAUGCAUAAGUACAUGGAUUAUGAAAUAUAAAAGAUGUAUAUGUAUUAUAAAAUGUCAAUGCAUAUAUAUACAAGUAUAAGAAAGUUAUGAAAAUAAAAUAAUAAUAAAUAUAUAUAAAAUAUGUACAUGUAUUUACAAAAAAAAAGUAUAAGUAUAAUAUAUUAGUAAAAUAUGAAAAUAUGAAUAUAAAAAAAUAUCCAGAAGAUAUAUUUAUAACAAUUUUGAAUAGUGUAUGAGUAUUUAUAUAUAUUAUAAAAAAUGCAUAUAUAUUAUAAAAAAAAUAUGCGUGUGUAUAGAAAUAAUAAUGAUAAUAAUAAUAAUAAUAAUAAUAAUAAUAAUAAUAAUAUAAUGAUGCAAAAACAAUAUUAAUAAUAUAAAAAAAACUAAAAAAAAACUUAAAACGAUAUAUCAAGGAUUAAUUUGAAAAUAAAUGGAGUUUAAGGGGCUGAAUUUAAAGAAAACACAACAAGGGACCAAAUCCCAAUGUGCGACACAAAAGGAGGACCCAAAGGGAAAUAUCCCCACACUGGUACAACAACGUCAUUUUAGCGAGACCCAUGCACAUGGUCUACGGGCCGAAUUGAAACAGGAAAGAAAUUUUGUGGCAAAAAUUAAAUAUAAAAAUUAAACUAUAUUGAGAACGCUACGAAAGUGGAGGGACUAAUUGCGCAAAUACCCCCACUAACCAAAACACACGGAUCCUUAGGUGGGUCGGGUCACGCAUGCGGGUAUGGCCCUAUACGGUGCCGUUUUGGGGCCACUGAAAUAGGACCUAAACGACGCCGUUUUGCAACCGUUAUAAAACAAAAAUUUCCUUAAAAAAUUCAUUUUCCCCUUUUUUACAAAAGAUAGCAGAGAAACCCUUUGGUAGGGUUUCUUUUUCCCAUGCCGCCGUCGCCAACCAAGGCCCUCCCAUGGCCUCAGCUGAUGUCUCGGUCUCCGAUCGCAACGGAGAAGGGUACACCGCGAUGACACCAGGUAAUAUUUUCUCUUUCUUUUAAGAAAAACAGAGAAAAAGAAUCCAGGACUUGAAAAAGAAAUCGAAAAGAAAAAUUUUAAAACCUUUCAAAAUCCCAUUUCCUUUGAAAAUCUUCUCCUUUUAUUACUGUUUAUAAAAAUAAAAGAUAAAUAGAACAAGUAAUAAUAACGGAGAUGCAAUUUCACCUUUAAUAUUUUCUCUUUUACUUUAUUUCGUCCCUCUUUCUUCCCUGUUUUCAAAUACAAAAGCGGCCUUUAUAGCCCGAAACAUAUUGUUAUUUUACACAUUUUUUCUCUGCUGGACUCUUCUAUUCCGUAUUUGCAGGUGUACGUGAGGGAACAACGCGCGUGGAGGAGGCCGGUUCCGAAUCGUGCGUCACCUGGAGUCCACUGGAGGUGCUGAGCAAUAUGCGGUUAGGGUUGCUAUUUCCAAACAUUUGCUUUGAGCCAUACUGAAAUCGGGCUAGGGUAAAACCUAGGUUUUGGGCCUGUAAUUGGGUAGUUAAGUUGAAGAUAUUGGGCCGUGUAAAUGGACCUUUAAAUGUUGGACUCUUUAUUUGUUUUGUUUUUACUUUCUGUUUUGGAUUAUUAUUUCUGCAUGCGGGCCCAGGAAAUAAUUGGUAUUACAGUUGCCCCUCUUUGCUCGUUAUCGUGUAACGAGAAUGGAGCAAAGACUUAAAGAAAACCAAUUUUGUCUGGUCUUGCCAAGUCUUGACCUUCUUCUUCCAGUAACCCUACAUCUUUAGAGGUACAGGAAUUGGUGCUUCAAUCUACCCCACUGCAAUGUCAGGGAGAUAGGAUUCGUACGUUGUAGCUUCUCAAAACAACAAAAUUUGCUAUCUUUAAUCCGUUGCACUGUAACUUCAGGGAAAUAAGACUCAUAGCUUCAACUUGUUCUGCUACAACCUAAAGAUAAAUCUGAUGCGAUCUACUCUACUGUAACUUCAGAGAGAUGAGUUUUGUGAUUUUAAUCCAUUCCAUUGCAACUUCAAGGAGAUAGGACUGGUUACUUCUUUCUGCUCCACUGCUACUUCAGGGAGAUAAGACUUGUAUCUUCCAUCUACUUCACUGUCGAUACAGGAAGACAAGACCUACCAUUUUCAACCUACUCCACUACUGUACAGGGAGAUAAGGCUGCUAUCCUCGAUCUACUUCGCUACCAAUAUAGGAAGAUAAGAUCUGCUGUCUUUGAUCUACUUCACUGCCAAUACAGGAAAACAAGAUAUGUUAUCUUCGAUCUACUUCGCUACCAAUAUAGGAAGACAAGUCUGCUAUUUUUGAUCUACUUCGCUACUAGUAUAGGAAGACAAGAUCUGUUAUCUUCGAUCUACUUCGCUACCAAUAUAGGAAGACAAGAUCUGCUAUCUUUGAUCUACUUCGCUGCCGAUACAGGAAGAAAAGAUCUGUUAUCUUCGAUCUACUUUGCUACCAAUAUAGGAAGACAAGAUCUGCUAUCUUUGAUCUACUUCACUGCCAAUAUAGGAAGAAAAGAACUAUUAUCUUCGAUCUACUUUGCUACCAAUAUAGGAAGACAAGAUCUGCUAUCUUUGAUCUACUUUGUUACCAAUACAGGAAGACAAGAUCUGCUGUUUUCAACCUGCUCCACUGCUGCUCAGGGAGAUAAGGCUUUAUGAUUUCACCGAUCCGUUCUCUGGGAACAUGACCUGUAUGAUUUAUUUCAUGAACCUAAUCAUACCUAAUGAUUAGGAUGUCGUGAUCAAAAUGAAUCAAAUGCUCCUAACUAGAUGUGUAUGAAUGACAUUUGAAUGCAGUGUCAUGAAAAUGAUUCAUUAAUGUUGAAGUUGUUAUUGCUCAUUAACCAUUAAGGCUUCCUUUGUGACAACAAUGCUUCGACAAAACUCGAAAAAUUCUUAAUCUGGGCUUUUCCUUCCUAGAUAUCUCCAACCUUUUAACUCGGUGAAGUCUAAACAAUAGUCUUGUUUCAGGUUCCUCUAUUAUUUAGAAAUUUCUAGAUUAAUAUGAAAAACUUCCCUUGCGAAAGUUUAUUGGUCCAUUAAUCAUUAUUCUAAUGCAACAUGCUUACGAAAAUAUCAUAACGAUGGAUAAAACAAAAUUGAUUUGAGAGCAUAACUCGUAAGAGGGAUUGACUGGGAACACUUAUAUUGAAAAAGAAUGAAGUGUUCUAAAACAAAAAAUUUAAUAUAAAUACUAUGCAUAGGUGCCCUAAAUAUCUCCGCUUGAAUUUCUCUAAACAACUUUCUGAAGACCAUUUUGAGUUCAACACGUGUUUAGGUGAUCUACAGUACUUUGUUGAUGUCUCAAGAUGUCGCCUAUUCCUUCAUGCUGGUUCAGGUAUAGCAAGAUUAUCACAUGCCGCAAUCAAAAUUUGAGUCACCCUUUUCGGGUUUUCAACUCAAAUCCCCUUUGGUCUCAAGGAGCCCUUUGCAGGUUUUCACCUUAGCCUCUCCUUUUUUUUAUUUUUUUUGAACUCAAAGCGCCUUUUGCGGGUUUUCACCUUGGUUCCUUCUCCUUCUUAAGUAAAGUAUUUCUUGACUGAAACUAAAGUUAUUGGAUUAGGCAAGUUUAUUUCAUCCAUCUUCGCCAGAAUCAAGGCUCCCUCAGAAAAGACCUUUUUUACAACAUAAGGUCCUUCCCAAUUUGGCAUCCAUUUACCUCUAAAAUCCUUUUGUAGAGGAAGAAUUUUUUUCAACACCAGGUCCCCCUUGUGAAAUUCUCUGGGACGGACCCUUUUGUUGUAGGCUCGCAUCAUUUUUUUUGCUACAUUUGACCAUGCUGAAUAACCUUUAGGCCUUUUCCAUCUAUUAAGUUCAACUGAUCGUAUCGAGAUUGGACCCAUUCUGCUUCAUCCAACUUUAGCUCAGCCAACACCCAGAGAGAAGGGAUUUCAACUUCAAUGGGUAAAACUGCCUCCAUACCGUAAACCAAGGAGAAAGGCGUUGCCCUGGUGGAAGUUCUGAUUGAUGUUCGAUAAGCAAAGAGGGAAAAUGGCAAUUUCUCAUGCCAACCAGUCCUUGUAAGUCUCUGUCAUUUUCCCACAAUUUUCUUGAUGUUUUUAUUGGCCGCUUCCACUGCACCAUUCAUUUUUGGGCGAUACGGCGACGAAUUGUGAUGUUUGAUCUUGAACUGACUAUAGACCUCCGCUAUUGAGCUGUUGUUCAAAUUCAACGCAUUGUCAGCUAUGAUCCUUUCAGUCAUUCCAUAUCGACAUAUGAUCUCUCUUUUCAAGAACUUACUGACUGCUGACUUUGUGACAUUAGCAUACGAAGCAUCUUCCACCCAUUUAGUGAAGUAGUCAAUAACUAUAAAUAUGAAAUGAUGCCCAUUUGAGGCCUUCGGUGAUAUUGACCUGAUAACAUCCAUACCCCAUAUGGAGAAAGGCCAUGGAGAAGUCAUAAAAUGAAUAGGUGAAGGAGGUGCAUGCAUUUUAUCAUCAUAAAUUUGACAUUUAUGCAUUUCUUAGCAUAAUUGAUGCAAUCCCCUUCUAUGGUGGACCAGUAAUACUCGAAUCUCAUAAAUUGUCUAGCCAUUGUGAACCCACUGGCAUGCGUUCCGUAAAUACCCUCAUAGGCCUCCUCCAAGAUUUUAUUAGCUUCCACAGCGUUCACACAUCUUAAUAGUACCUGAUCCUUUCCUCUCUUAUAUAAGAUCUCCCCAUCUAAGACGUAAUCAAUGGCUAGUCUUCUUAGAGUCCUCUUAUCAUUCUCAGUUGCCUAGUCAGGAUACUCACAAUUCUUUACAUAUCGUAAUAUAUCUUGAUACCAAGGACUAUCAUUCAUUUCUCCCUCUUUGAUAUUAUAACAAUGAGCCGGGCUUUCAUAGAUGCUCAUCUGGAUAGGCUUCAUGUCCUCUUGUCGGUUCACUUUGAUCAAGGAGGCUAGAGUAGCUAAUACGUCAGCCAUCUGGUUCUCGUCUCGUGGGAGAUAGCAAAAAGUAAUGUCCUCAAACUCUUUAAUCAAUUCGAGGACCAACUUUCGAUAACUGACUAAUUUGGGAUCUCUCAUUUCCCAUUCACCUUUAAGCUAGUAUAUCACCAAUGUCGAAUCUCCACAGACCUCUAGUACUUUGAUUUCACGCUCUAUAGCUGCACGAAUGCCCAUGAUGCACGCUUUGUAUUCUACCAUGUUGUUUGUACAAUCAAAAUUUAGGGUUUCAAGUGAAAGGAUAAUGAUCACCAUUCAGGGAUACUAAGACUGCCCCAAUUCCAUUGCCCACAGCGUUCGAGGCUCCAUCAAAGUUUAGCUUCCAAUUGUGACCUUCUUGGGAAUUUUCUCCAAUUGUUGCUACAUACAUCAAGUCCUCAUUUGGGAAAUCAAAACUCAAUGGCUCGUAAUCCUCCAAAGCUAUUGCACUCCCUUUCAUAGCCUUUUGACUCACAUAGACUUUAUCAAAUUCAGAAAGUAAGAUCUACCAUCAGGCCAUCCUUCUAUUCAAAGAAGUCGACUCCAUCAUAUACUUUAAAGGGUCUAACUUUGAAAUUAGCCAAGUCGUAUGGUAUAACAUGUACUGCCUUAAUCUUCGAGUUGUCCAAACCAGGGCACAACACAACUUCUCAACAGGCGAGUAUCUCAUUUCACAAUCAGUGAAUUUCUUAUUGAGAUAAUAUAUUGCCCUUUCUUUCCUUCUUGUUUCAUCAUGUUGACCUAGCACACACCCCAUGGAAUUAUCAAACACUGUUAGAUACAAUAUCAGCGGCCUAUCCGGGCUAGGUGGUGACAGCACUGGAGUAUUAGACAAGUACUGUUUUAUCUUGUUAAAAGCUUCCUCGCAUUCUUCAUCUCAUGUACCAGGAUUAUGUUUCUUCAGAAGAUGGAAUAUGGGGUCACAUUUCUCAGUUAAUUGUGAAAUGAACCUAGCAAUGUAAUUCAGUCUUCCUAAGAAACCUCGAACUUAUUUCUAAGUGCGAGGUGGAGGUAAAUCUCGUAUUACCUUGACUUUGUCUGGGUCAAUCUCGAUUCCCUUUUCACUGACUAUGAAGCCUAGCAACUUUCCUGACCUGGCCCCAAAAGUGCAUUUCGCUGGAUUAAGCUUGAGCUGGAACUUUCUCAAUAUUAAGAAUAAUGUUCUUAGGACUUGCACAUGUUCCUCAUCCGUUCUAGAUUUUACAAUCAUAUCGUCAACAUAAACCUCGAUUUCUUUGUGCAUCAUGUCAUGGAACAAGGCUACCAUGGCUCUUUGGUAUGUUGCUUCUGUAUUCUUUAAUCCGAACGGCAUCACCUUAUAGAAAAACAUUCCCCAUAACAUAAUGAACGUAGUCUUUCUUAUAUCUUCGGGAUGCAUCUUUAUCUGAUUGUAUCCAGAAAAACCAUCCAUGAAGGAAAACAAUGAAUAGCCUGCCAUAUUAUCUACCAAUGUGUCAAUGUGAGGCAAUGGAAAAUUGUCUUUUGGACUAGCAUUGUUCAAAUCCCUAUAAUCCACACACAUUCGUACUUUCCCAUUUUUUUAGGAACUGGUACAAUGUUGGCCACCCACUCAGAAUACUUGACCUCUUGUAAAAAACCGGUAUCAAACUGCUUUUUGACCUCCUCCUUUAUUUUUAACACGACAUCAGGCCUCAUCCUCCUGAGCUUCUGAUGUACUGGCUUGCAAUCCUCUCUUAUAGGAAGACGGUGGACUACAAUGUCAGUACUUAACCUAGGCAUAUCUUGGUAUGACCAUACAAAGACAUCUUUGAAUUCUUGGAGUAAUCCAAUGAGGUAUUGUCUUAUCUUUGCAAAAAUAUCAGAUCCGAUCUUCACUUCUUUUUCUUCCUCCAAGUUUACAGUUUCUAUUGAUUCCUUGUGAGAUAGGAUUUGCUUCUCCGCCCGUUCUACCAUCCGCAGCAAGUCUGGAGAUAAACCACAGUCUUCGCCAUCUUCGAAAUCAUGCGAUCCCUCUAAACACAUGUCUCGUUCAAAAGGAGAUUCUGAGUUUGUAAGAGCGACACUCAUAUCAUUGAUAUCGAGGGACCUGUUAUAGGUAUGAAAAAUAAUAUGGAUUCAGGAAUAAUUAUUUGUGUAAUAUGGUCAUUAAUGAGAUGCAAGAAUAAUUUGAAAAAAAAAAUUCAAAACAACUGCUUAUAUGGAAAGAAAGAAAGAAAAUUUGCUCAAAAAUUAUUGCAAAGAUGUACUUUAUUAAAAUAACGAUGUUUGGACAUGAGCCUAUUUCACAAAGGAAUCCUUAUCGCUUCUAGGCUAAAAGCAAUAAGGGUGUUCGGAACAUUACUCUAAGGAAGUCCUAAAAGCUACAGGUAUUUCUUUUGCACUCCAAUUGUUUAGCACACCUCCUGAUUCAUAAUGGAGGAUAUCCAAGAAAGUUCCUCCCUCAGUUGCCUCUUCACAAAUGGCAUGAAUACUUCCCAACUCCUCGUUAAUACUUCCACCUCUUGGCACUCCUUGAUAAAUAAAUCCUCCCGAUACAAAAGUUUUGGAUAGGUGAGGAAAGGUCAUAGGUUCCCAUUUAACUUCAUCUCCUGUCAAACGAGCCCUUCUUCUUUCUCGCUUCUUUUCUUACUCCAUCCUCCUUUGCUUAAUAUCUGGCUUGUAACCUAAGCCAAAACGAUAAUGCUUGUCCUUCAACACUCGGGCUUCAACUCGACCCUGAAGAUAUCUCCCCAAUCCUUUCCUUGGCAAGACUCCUUUUCCCACUGUAAACUGUAGACCCAUCUUUGUGGUCUUUGAUAUCCUCGGCAUCGGGAUCUUGUAACACCCCGAACCCGAGGCCGUCGCCGGAGUCGAACACGAGGUGUUAACAGACUUCAAACCACUUAAAAAAAAAAUUUCCCAGACAAGCUGCCAGUCUGCGUACUAGUCGAUUAAAAAAAAUCAUAUCUUGAGUUCUGAAACUCGAAAUCCAGUUCCGUAAAUUUUCCCUGAAACUAGACUCAUAUGCCCAUCUACAUAUUUUUUUCUAGAAUUUUUGGUCAGGCCAAUUAGUACAGUUUAUUAGUCAAAGUCUCCCAUGUUACAGGGAUCGACUACACUGACCUUUGUGCAUUACGACUUGGAUAUCUCCCUGCACAGAGCUUCAAUACUGAUGCCGUUUGUUUCUAUAGAAACUAGACUCAGAGAGGAAUCUAUAAAUAUAUGGAAUGACUCCUAAUUAUCUCUGGUUAAUUUAUAAUGAAUUUCCAAAGUCGGAACAGGGAAUCCAGAAACCGUUCUGGCCCUGUCUCACGAGAACCUAAAUAUCUCUUAACAUAUUGUCCAUAUGAUCAUUUCGUUACUUUCCUAUGAAAAUAGAUUCAUCAAGGUUCGUUUACAUAAUUUAUUCACUAUUUAAUUCCAAUCCUACUAUUUUUAGUGAUUUUCAAAAUCUACAUCACUACUGCUGCCAGCAUCUGCCUUUAAGGUAGACUUUACCUAUUUCAUAGUUUCCAUGAUUCAACUAGCCCUUUUAGCAUAAAUAGCACAAAUCAUGAUAGCGAUUAACCAUUCCAUACCAAAUGAUUAUAACAUUAUGCUCAAACAUAUAUAAGCCAUUUUCGCAUGGCUAUAUACAUUAACCAAACUAUUCUUCCGCCACUAGUCUAUUUUAUACAUGCCAUAAGACAAUCCGAAACAUAGCAGUACCAAACAGUGGAUAGUGAUAGUGUGACUAGUUGCUGACGAUCCCCGAGCCUGUAGCUUCACAAUGAGAUCUAUAAAACAGAGGAAACAGAGUAAACGGAGUAAGCAUUACAAUGCUUAGUAAGUUUUAAGCAGUGUCAACAGAUAACACUCAAAUUAUAACAUAGUUGUUCGUAUUUUUAUUUCACUCUUCCUUCGGGCAUACCAUCCCUUUACCGAAUCUGCACAUCUCAUCAUAUACAAUAGGCAGAUAAACUUUCACAUAAAAGUGAGCUCAUGUGACAUAGAUAUAUCGUAUGAUUUCACAUCACCUCUCACACUGAUCCGAUGUCACAUAAUCAUAGGAAUAGUCUCAUAGAUUGCUUUCGUAUGCAUCACAUAACUACUUUAUGAUUUAGUGCAAAUCAAGCUCACAUAUAAACUUGAAGUACAUACCUGUUUAACCUUUCACAUUGAAUAUAUUUAUAAGCAAUUCUUAUUACGAAGUCUUACCCGGACAUAAUCUCCACACGAAGUUAUCGGGUCUUACCCGGACAAAAUCCCCACACGUAGUCAUCGGGUCUUUAGAGCUCGGAUAUAGUACAAGCACGAAGCUUAAGGACAUUAAUCAGUGAUAAUAUUCUCGCAUAAAGCCUGCGGGGUUUUAACCCGGAUAUAGUACUGACACAAAUGCCUUACGGGACUUAUCACAUUUAUGCACUUUCACAUCCAUUACGUUGGCCAGUCGGCCUUGUCACGUAUAUACACUUUCACAUUCAUCACAUCGGCCAUUAGGCCUUAUCACAUAGAUACACUUUCACAUUCAUCACAUCGGCUAUUAGGCCUUAUCACACAUAUACACUUUCACAUUCAUCACGUCGGCUAUUAGGCCUUAUCACACAUAUACACUUUCACAUUCAUCACAUCGGCUAUUAGGCCUUAUCACACAUAUACACUUUCACAUUCAUCACAUCGGCCAUUAGGCCCUAUCACAUAUAUAUACACUUUCACAUUCAUCACAUCGGCCAUUAGGCCUUAUCACAUAUAUAUACACUUUCACAUUCAUCACAUCGGCCAUUAGGCCUUAUCUUUCACAUUCAUCACAUCGGCCAUUAGGCCUUAUCACAUAUAUAUACACUUUCACAUUCAUCACAUCAGCCAUUAGGCCUUAUCAUCAUUUCAUAUUCGAAUACUCAUAAACUUACAAUAUCACGAUUUAGAAUUCAAGUAUGGGUUUAAUCAGUAGCUUAUGAGCAACUAAAACAAGUUUAUCAAGGUUCACAACAUAAUCUCAAAUUCAGCACAAGCUGUUUUUCCUGAGCAAUAGUCACUAAAUUAUUUAUAACUGGAGCUACAAAACUCCAAAUCACUUUCCGUUAAUUUUUCCUGAAUAUAGACUCAUAUAUCUUCCAUCCAUAACAUUUCCAGAAUUUUAUGUUUGGCCAAUCAAUACCAGAUUUUUCUUAAAGUUUCCCCUGUUUCACUGUUUGACUAAUCUGACCACUCUUCACUACGAAUCAAAUUUCUCAUUUUACAGAAUUCAAAAUAUGUUGUAUUUCAUUUCAUUUGAAACUAGACUCAUUAAGGAGUCUAAGUAUAUAAAUUUCAUCUUAUAACCAUUUUUGUACAAUUUAUAAUGAUUUUCUAAAAACAGAACAGAGGAUUACAGUGUCAUUCUGCGCUGUCUCACACAACUUUGAGUAUCUCAUUAUCGGAAAUUCCUUUGCUUACACGGUUUCUUUUAUAAGAAACUAGACUUAUUAAGCUUUAAUUUCAUGUCUCAUUCAGCCUCUAAUUCAAAUCCAUAAAUUUAUGGUGAUUUUCUAAAGUCACGUUACUGCUGCUGUCCUAAGCAGACUAUUUCAAAUUACCCUUGAAUUCCCAAGCUCAAACACUUAAGAACUUACCAUUUGAGCUUAGAACAUAUCAUGGCCACAUCAUAUCUUAUUAAAUCAACUCAUCAUGUCCCUUUAUAAUUGAAUUUACUCAACGUUUAAUCACUUAAAACUUACCUCAGAAGUUUCCGAACGAUUACGACGGCUCUUCGAUCACUUUUUUCCUUUCCCUUAUCCAACUUGAUCCUCUAGGCUCUUGAGCUAAAUCAAACAAUUUACUUCCCAAAUUAAACAUAGUCAUACGACAUCCAUAUACAUUUUAUACUAGCCGAAAUGUACCAUCAAGAUAUACUUUACUCAAAUAAUUUACCUUGGCCGAUCAUGUAUAAUGUUUUGUAGCUUAAUAAAUUUAACAUACAUUAUGUAUUCAUAACAUUUGUGCAGCCAAUUAUGCAUGGUCAUACACACACAAUAAAAAAUAAAUACUAAAUUUUCAUAUCCUUUAUGCCCUAAGCCGAAUACACUUGUCAUGUUCACCUACAUUUUUCAAGUACAACAUUCUCAUAUUCGGCAUUAGUAUCAAGCAUAAUAGCCAAUUCUUCCUACCAUUUCCAAAACCAAUUCAUCAAUGCAAUCAUACCAUUACAAAUCAACUUAAAAUAACCAUAUCUAAUAAUCAAAUACCUAUAGCAUUGCACAUUUCUCACAUAGCAAAUACAACUAAAUUCAUUAUUAAUAUAUAUAUCUAAACACUUAACUACAAGAUUUAAUCACCAUUAUCAAAUCAUAAAACAGCUUAUAACCAUCAUCUAUAUUUACUUCCCAUAAACCGAAAUAACCAUUUAAUCAAGCCAAAUCUCAAGACCAUUCCAUCACACAAAUUAUACCAUAAAUCAUACUUACAAUUUAAGUUAAUGCAUGACCGAAAAUCACCAUUAUUAACAUCGUUAUCAAACUAAAACCAAAACACAUCUAUCAUCCGUAUACCAAACUUACCAAAACAAACUACUAUGAGUUUCAAGCUUAUUGACCGAAUCUCAAACCUCAAAAUUCUAAGUUUAAUCUAUGGAUAAGUAGAGUUUGAACUAAUCAUCUCAAACAUGCAUAGAUUUUCAAGAAUCAUUCAAUACAUACCUCAUUCUAGCCAUCUUCUAAGCCAAAAAUCAAAGCAACCAAACUUUCUUCUCUCUCCCUUUAGGCUACGGCAAUGGAGGAAAGGAUGAACAACUUUGGUUUCUCCUCCCACUAAUUAUUAUCUAACAUCUUUCUUUUUCUUUUUUUUUCUAGUGCUUAUUUCCUAUUAUAAAACCAUGUAGUCAUUAUAAUAUUAAUACAAAAUGCAUAUGCUUUGUAUCCCAUACCCUCAUGGCCGGCCACUUCCUCUAAAGUGGGGAAUUUGACAUGCAAACCCAUCAUUUCACAACAUGCAUUAUUAGGCCACUUUACAUUUGCCUAGCACAUUUCCAAAUUUUCUCACAUAAGUCCUAUUUAAUAAAAUUCACUUACAAUUAACAAAAUUCAAACAUGCAAUUUUCACACAUGCAUAUAUACAUAUAAUAAGCAUCAAAUAUGACAGCUAAUUAUUUUUAUGACUCGGUUUAGCGGUCCCGAAACCACUUCCCGACUAGGGUCAAUUUUGGGCUGUCACAGAUCUUGUUUCCCUCAGUGAUAAAUGUAGCAUUCACAAACUCUAAAGAUCGGAAAAAACAUUCACCUGCAUCAUCACUUGUUUCCAAAUACGGUGCAUCAUUAGCUACAGCUGCAAUGAUAUCCUCUUCAGCGUUUAUAGUCACUAACCGACCAUCCGAUAUCAGUUUCAGCUUUUGAUGUAAUGAUAAAGGUACGACCCCUGCUGAAUGUAUCCAUGGCCUUUCUAAUAAACAAUUGUAAGAAGGCUUAAUGUCCAUCACCAGGAAGUCCAUCUCAUAGAUAGUUGGGCCAAUUAAUAAGGGUAUGUCAAUUCUUCCCAUGACCCUCCUUUUAGUGCCGUCAAAUGCUCUCACUACAUUCUGGCACGACUUAAUAUGCGAACCAUCCACAGGUAGCCUAUUGAGUGUGGACAGGGGCAAUACAUUCAAUGCCGAUCCGUUAUCUACCAGAACUCCCAGUAAUGUGUACCCUUUGCACCUGGUAGUGAUGUGCAAAGCUCUAGUAGACCCCAUACCCCCAGGUGGUAUUUCGUCAUCGUUGAAAAAGAUGAAGUUAUCAUCGCUUAUAUUGCUAACCAGCCGAUCUAAUUUGGUGACAGAGAUAUCAUUGGCCACAUAGGUUUGGUUUAGUACUUUCAACAGUGCAUUUCGAUUCCCCUCUGAGCUCAACAGUAAAGCUAGCACAGAUAUGUGAGCUGGUUGUUUGUGUAAUUGUUCCACAACACUGUACUCGCUAUGCUUCAAAAAUUUCAGGAACUCCCUAGCUUACUAUUCUUUUAUUGGCUCAUUGACCAGCAGUUUAGGUUUGACUGCAUUUUUCUUCUUUUCGAUCAAAGUUUCUCCUUUUGCUGGCUUUAUUCAGGCAUUUAUCAAAUUGUAGCGCUUUCCACUACGAGUAUAGAAGCCCACCUCUCGAUCCUCUUUUGAAAUAUUGGUUACAUCCUCCUUCCCUAGAGUUGUCACAUUGUAAUCAUAAUUCCAGGGAACCUUCUUGUUAUCCUUAUAAGCAAAUACAGACAGUUUUUGAAUGAUGACAUUUGGUGUUAUCCUUGCUCCAACCUCAUUAUUCUUAGGUCACGAAAUGAUGACCAUAAGGUAGUUAGCUUUUGGAACUUCCAACGCUGACUCUGAUGCGCAUAUAUGUCCCUCCUUCUUAAUUUCUUCACAGAAUUCUAUCUCUUUAUUAUCCAUCAUACAUUGAACCAUGGUUCUGAACUCCACACACUCUUGGACUUCAUGCCCCAUUUCACGGUGGAACUCACAGUAGUUCCCUCUCUUCUCGUAACUUCCUUCCGAAAUGACUAAUCCCCUUUUCACCAUCUCCUUCCAGACCCAACUCAAAGGAGUUUUUACGUCUGCAAUGUCUGCCUUAAUUCUUCUAUUUUCACUGAUCAUAUUUACCCCACUAUCAGUAUGAUUUGGUAAUGGAUUUUCUUCACUGGUUGAAUCAUCAAGUUUGACAACGCUAAUACUGAUGAGCCUUUCAAUCAACUUCUUAAAGGUAGUACAAUUUUCUAUAGAAUGCCCUGUAAUUCUCGCAUGAUAAUCGUAUUGUGCAUUCGCGUCGUACCAUUUAGGGUAUGAGGGCUACAAGGGGUUUAAAUAUAAAGGGGAAAUAACGUGUGCAUUAAAUAAACUUUGAUAUAGCUCCUUAUACGACACUGGAAUUGGCGUGAACUGGGGCCUCUCAGUGUUUUGUCUCGUGCUAGCUUCUUGUCUUGAUGAACCUUACUGGUUAGCAACCACAUUUCUUGGUUGAUUCACCGUUAUUGACUUCGAGUAACCCUUGUUAUAUAUACUCUUGUUGUUUACAUCGUUCUCCUUCUUCUUCGAGGUUGAUCUUCUGUUGCUCUCUCCAGCAUCAAUCUUCCCACUCCUUAUGGCAUUUUCAAUCAUCCCACCAUUCAUGACUAUGUUAGGAAGGAUUUUUGUGGAACUCCCUAACAUAUGUGUAAUGAACGGUGCUUUCAGUGUGUUAAUGAAUAGCAUUGUCAUUUCUUUUUCCAAGAGCGGUGACUGAACUUGGAUAGUGACUUCCCUCCACCUUUGUGCAUAUUGCCUAAAACUUUCGUUUGACUUAUUUUCCAUAUUUUGAAGGGUAAUUCUAUCAGGAACCAUAUCUGUUACAUGACUAUACUAUUUCAUGAACGCUUGUGCUAAAUCCCUCAAUGAACCAAUCAUGGUACGGCUCAAUUGAUUGUACCAUUUAGAUGCUGCUCUAGCGAGGCUAUCUUAGAAACAAUGUAUUAGUAGCUGGUAAUUGUUAACAUAUCCAGCCAUUCACCUACAGAACAUGGUGAUAUGAGCUUCUGGGCAACUUGUCCCAUUGUACUUUUCGAAUUCUGGCAUCUUAAACUUAUGAGGGAGUACCAAAUUCGGGUCUAAACUCAACUCUUUAGCGUCAAUCCCACUAUAGUUUUUAGUGAUUCCCAUUGCCUUAAACUUCUCUUCGAUCCAUUUGUAUAUUUCUUCUAACUACUUUGGUAACUCUUCUUUUACUUUUCCUUUCCAUCCACUUCAUCGAAGUCAGGAAUGGCAGAGUUAGUAGGAUGGUUUUCAGGGUUAGAGCCCGAUCCAGCCUGAAAGCUUGAAGCACCGGCCUAGAACUGCCGAGGCUUGAUUGUGAUAGUAGAUUUGGUGCGAGUAUACUUCAGCUUAGGUUCACACAUGUGGAGGAGUAAAGCCUGGAGGAUAGAGAGGUUCAUCAUCGUUACCCUCUUCGACAUUAGCCAUAGGGCCCUUUCCCUUAUCUCCUCCCCCGGUCAACAGUUGGGUCAACUUCGCCAUCAUAUCCUUUUGGGAUUCCAACAUCUUCUCUGACAUAUCCUAUUGCAUUUUGUCUAAUCGCUCCUGCACUUGCAGCUGGAGUCGGUCUUGCAUUUGCUUCUGGUACUGUUCAAGCUUUUCCAAUCUCUGAUCCAUGUCUUUAGUCUUUGCUCAAGUGCCGUAACGGUGUUUGGUUGGUUGGUUGGUUUCUAGGUUAACUGAGCAAUGGUUUUAAUUAAUUAGGAUCAUUUAAUGGUAUUUAAUGCAUAUGAUGCGAUGCAUGAGAUGAAUGCAAGAAAAGCGUUAGUUCUGGUUCAAUUCCACUUAGAAAACUUUACUAGAGAAAAAAAGCUUUACAUAAACUGGCUAUAAAUAAGGUUUUGCCCUAAUACUUAGAACUUUAAUCUCCCUAACUAACUAGGCCAACUUCUGCCCCCGAUCUGAUUCUGAUUCAUACUUCACACUUAGUAUAUCAGUUUGUAUUGCAAAAUUUUACGGGUGCUCAGCUACCUCUUCAAUCUGAACCACAGCUUCUCCCAUAAUAUGAUCCCUUUUUGUAACCUGAUCUUGGAAAUAAUGAAGCUGUUUACUUUGAUGAUCUUCAUUUGCUUCCAAAUAUUCGAUCUUGGCUUCACACUUUUGUAAUACCAUUUCUAAUUCUUCUACUGUUCUUUUCAUUUGCUCAAUCCUACCGAAGCUUGCUUUCAGCUCCACCACAGAAUUACGAUUUCGAUAUUGAUGAAUAGUUUUCUCAAGUUCUGCCACUCUAGCUUUUAGCUCAUCCCUUUCAUUUUGGCUUUCUGACAAACUCUUCUCAAGGGACCUAUUUUGCAUUUGGGCCUCUUGAAAUUUCCUUUCCCAUCUACCAGCCUUGAUCUUUUCUUAUUGAAUUUCUUGACACCACUGCUCUGAAGUUUUCCCCAACCCAGCAGUUCUCACUGACAGGCGUAGUUUCUUAUAAUCCAUCUUCAAGCUAUUCAAAUCUUCCUCAGCUUUAUGCUUUUCUUUUCUUAGUUUUUUGGUUUUUAGCUUCUGAACAUCCAUGUCCAAUUUCAAAUUCAUCUUCUCCUCUUCCAUUUGUUCUAUCUUCUUUUUGAGCUCCAAAUUUCUUCUUUCAAAAUCCUACCUUAUAACUUCUAGCUCAGAAGGGACAACUCGUGCAUGCUUUCCUGCUGGUUGAUUGUCUCCCUGACUUGCCACAGGUAUAUUAUCAUUGAUCCUUCUGCCCAGCCACUCGAUAUAUUUAGGAGUCAUCGGCAGACCUACUGCCAAUCUCUUCAUCCAUCGAGUCUUUCUCCAAGAGUUAGUCAUUUCUCUAAUCUUCUGCUUGUAACCAUCACCUUUAUAAGAGAAUUCACAUUGAGCUAAUCCUUGGGUUGCAGGUACGAACUGCCUUGACCUAUACUGUCUUAGUACCAGCAAUGGUGCAUAGCCAAUGGCUCCCUAAAUCCCAAGUACAGGGACCCAGUUGAAAUCUCCACACCUAUAUAAGAUCUCAUCUGGUAGCAUUCAAGGAGCUCUCCAUUCAAUAUCCUCCUCUUGAAGAUUCUGAAGAAUUUCCAUCCAUUUUUCCUCUGAAAUAUCAUCCUGCCUCUGUAUAGCCACUAUUUCUUUCAAGGGAAAAUAAUUUUUAGAAAAAAACCCGAUAAGAAACCUUAUCAACUUUCCAAAAGUGACUAUGAAACCAUGUUAAGAGGAGCUGCGCACGUCCAAUGAAUCUACCCUCACCUGGUCUUCGGCAUUCAUUUAGUGAUCUAAAAGUUUCUGUUAAAAUUGCUGGGACUGGUGUAACCCCAUUAUCAAGUCGGUCAAAAAGAUCAGUGAGUUCUUCAUCAACAUGUCCCAAGGCUUUGGGAAAGACAAAUAAGCCGUAGAUACUCAAGGCAAAGACAUAAACUUUCUUCCUCGUAUCUGAGUGUGCCAAAAUUGAAUCCUUCAAGUUCUUCCAAGGAAUGCAUUUGCUAUCCUCUUUUUGUUUGAUUCGUGUUGCGACCCAUUGCUCACUCAUCUAGUAAUAUUCAUCAAUUUCUUCAAAAAGGUUAGGACAAUAGCAGCUCUCGAGUAAGCUUUGUCUACUUGGAUCUUCGAACAACGAAGUAAGGCCACAUAUUCCUCCACUGUAGGCACUAACUUAACUUUUCCAAAGGUGAAACAACUAUAAGUAGGAUUCCAAAACUGGGCGAGGGCACGAAACAAGUGUUUAUCCACCUUUAUGUCGAGUAAAUGAAGUAGAUCUCCAUAGCUAGAGUAAAAUAGCUGCUUCACCUCAUUAUUCCACUGGUCCCAAAUUUCCUUCAAUUCCUGUAGAUUAUUCUGGGUUACGCUAAUACGAGAAAAAUCCCACAACUCUGACACAUAUCCUUCAGCCAAGCUAUCACCUUUCUCUUGCUGUAUUGUCUCAGACCAGAUUUGGACAGCCGCAUUAUCCUCCACCUUAUCAAGAAAUCCCUUUUCCAUGAUAAGCUUUCUAUCUAGUAACCGAAUAUGAACUAACUCCUUUUAGGAUGAAAUGCUAUGCAGUCAUAAUGUCAUGCAAUCAAAGCAAAAUAACCCAAGUUAGUAUCACGUAUAAAGACAUAAUUCAACACGAACAUGAGAUAAUAAAAGCACCUAUUUAAGAGUCCAAUAGGGUUUGGUAUGAUUCUACCUAAGGCCAGUUCCUAAAGCUCACUAUAUGAGGUUUAGUUUCUAGAGCAAAGGUACCCGAACUAGCAAAUUCCUCGAUCCUCACCCAUUAUAGGCUCAUAUGGUUCGAGUUCAGUUCAUGGGGAAUACAUUUCCCUAUGGCUGCAUGGAGAUGAAAAUCUCACGAAGACAUAGGUAUGGAUGUAUCCCGAAAGCGGUCCAUUGCCCUGCAUGGAGGUGAAAACCUCACAAAGGACUAGUUUCUCGCUCCCACUUAAAGGGUAAAAACUGACCAACCAAUGCAAUGCAAAAUGCAAAUACAAAUUAAUCAACUCGGACCAAUCAUGCAAACAUAUCAUGAUGAAAAUCAAUGAAUGCAAAGAGAAAUCAUGAUUUUAAAACAAAAUUUGAUUUUGCCAAGCUGUUAAAACCACUUUUUUUUUGAAAAAAGACAAUCGUCGACUUAAAAACAAAAAUUGGAGUCGCCACCAAUCUUUUAUUAAGGUGUGCUCGGUUCACCUUGAAAAUGAUUUUAGGUCUACAAAUUUUGAGAAAAUAGGUUCGGGAGUCAGUUACGCAUGAGGAAGGGUUAGCACCCUCGUAAGCCCAAAAUCAGUACCGAACUGAUUGUUUAAUGUCUUGGUGUCGAAAAUUUGAAAAGAUUUUAAAAGAAACUCAUAUGAUGAAAUCUGAAAGGAUAAUCAAUUGUUUAAGUCAGACGAAGAAAUCGAGACCCAAUACGUUAGAGUACGAUUUCUCAAAAUCCCCAAACUUUGAAUAUCACUUUUAUUUUAUAAGAAAAUCUUCAUCUCGAGAAAGCAAUAUGUUAUGCCCAAUACGUUAUGACACAACAAGUUAAAUUCUCGAAAAUGAUCUUUACAUUUAUGCGUUUUGAAAAAGCUAUGCUCGAUUAUUUAGGUUUAAGAAGGAAAAUUGGAACCCAAUACGUUAGGGCUCAAUCUUCUCGAAAAUCCUAAAUAUCGAGUACCGCAUUAUCUUCAAAGCCUUUAAACAAAAAUGAUUUUAAUGCUUUGAUGAAAUCAAACCCAUUUUUUAAAAGCAUGAUAAAAUGUUAAUAUACAACAUGAAACACAUACUUUAAUUUAAAUUAUAUAUGUAUAUGUGUUUACAAAAUAUGUAUAUAUAAGUAUGAUACAUAAGUAAAUUUUAAAAAUAUGUAUAUGCAUAUAUUAAAACAUAUAUAAGUAUACAUAUAAAAAAGGAAAAAAGAAUGAAAUAUAUAAAACAAAAAAAAAACUUAUAAUAAUUUCUAAGAAAAUAUGUAUGUAUAUAUAUAUGUAUGUGAAAAUUAUGAAAAUAAGAUAAAAAAAUAAAAGUAUGUAUAUGUGUAUAUAUUUACAAAAAUAAAAAAUGUAUUAGUAUAUAUAUUGGUAAAUCAUGAAAAUACGUAUAUGUAUAUAUUUAAAAUACGUAUAUAUAUAUAAGUAUAAUAUGUACAUAAAAAAUGACAUAUGCAAAAAAAAACAAAUAUAUAUUUAUAAAAAUUUAGAAUAAAUAAAAAUGUACGUAUAUACAUGUUAUAAGAAUGUAUGCAUAUGUACAUGGAUUAUGAAAUAUAAAAGAUGUAUAUGUAUUAUAAAAUGUUAAUGCAUAUAUAUACAUGUAUACAAAAGUUAUGAAAAUAAAAUAAUAAUAAAUAUAUAUAAAAUAUGUACAUGUAUUUACAAAAAAAAUAAAAAAGUAUAAGUAUAAUAUAUUAGUAAACUAUGAAAAUAUGUAUAUAAAAAAAUAUGCGGAAGAUAUAUUUAUAACAAUUUUGUAUAGUGUAUGAAUAUAUAUAUUAUAAAAAAUGCAUAUAUAUUAUAAAACAUAUGCGUGUGUAUAGAAAUAAUAAUGAUAAUAAUAAUAAUAAAUAAUAAAUAAUAAUAUAAUAAUAAUGAUGCAAUAACAAUAUUAAUAAUAUAAAAAACUAAAAAAAAACUUAAAACGAUAGAUCAAGGAUUAAAUUGAAAAUAAACGGAGUUUAAGGGGCCGAACUUUGAAGAAAACACAACAGGGGACCAAAUCCCAAUAUGCGCAACAAGAGGAGGACCCAAAGGGAAAUAUCCCCACACUGGUCCAACAGCGUUGUUUUAGCGAGACCCAUGCUCAUGGUCUAUGGACCGAAUUGAAACAGGAAAGAUAUUUUGUGCCAAAAAUUAAAUAUAAAAAUUAAAGUAUAUUGAGAAUGCUACGAAAGUGGAUGGACUGAUUGCGCAAAUACCCCCACUAACGAAAACACGCAGAUCCUUUGGCAGGUCAGGUCACGCAUGCGGGUAUGGCCCUAUACGGCGCCGUUUUGGGGCCACUAAAACAGGCCUUAAACGACACCGUUUUGCAACCGUUAUAAAACGAAAAUUUCCUUAAAAAAUUCAUUUUCCCUAUUUUUACAAAAGAUAGCAGAGAAACCCUCUGCUAGGGUUUCUUUUUCCCACGCCGCUGCCGCCACCAACCAAGGCCCUCCCAUGGCCUCAGCUAAUGUCCCGAUCUCCGAUCGCGAUGAAGAAGGGUACACCGUGACGAAACCAGGUAAGAUUUUCUCUUUUUUUAAAGAAAAACAGAGAAAACUAAUCCAAGACUCGAAAAAAAUCGAAAAGAAAAAUUUUAAAACCUUUCAAAAUCCCUUUUUCUUUGAAAAUCUUCUCAUUUUAUUACUGUUUAUAAAAAUUAAAGAUAAAUAGAACAAGAAACAAUAACAGAGACGCAAUUUCACCUUUAAUCUUUUCUCUUUUACUUUAUUUCGUCCCUCUUUCUUCCCUAUUUUCAAAUACAAAAGCGGCCUUUAUAGCCUGAAACAUAUUGUUGUUUUACAUAUUUUUUCUCUGCUGGAAUCUUCUAGUCCGUGUUUGCAGGUGUACGUGACGGAACGGCGCGCGUGGAGGAGGCUGGUUCAGAAUUGUGCGUCGCCUGGAGUCCGCUGGAGGCGUUGAGCAAUAUGCGACUAGGGUUGCUGUUUUUGAACAUUUGGUUUGGGCCAUACUAAAAUUGGGCUAGGGUAAAACCUAGGUUUUGGGCCUGUAAUUGGGUAGUUAGGUUGAUGAUAUUGGGCCGUGUAAAUGGACAUUUAAAUGUUGGACUCUUUAUUUGUUUUUUUAACUUUCUGUUUUGGUUUAUUAUUUGUACAUGCGGGCCCAGAUAAUAAUUAGUAUUACAAUACGUGUUAAAGACUAUUAAAAGAUCCUAAUCGAUUAAAAUUAUUCCUCAGUUAAUCUAGAAACCAACUAACCAACCAAACACCGUUACGGUACUCGAGCAAAAACUAAAAACAUGGACCAAAGAUUGGAAAGGCUUGAAUAGUUCCAAAAGGAGAUGCAAGACCAACUUCUGCUGCAAAUGGAAGAGCAGCUAGCUAAGAUAUAGCAAGAUAUGAUGGAAAAAUGCUGGAGUCUCAAAGAAACAUGAUGACUCAGUUGACUCAACUGUUGGCUAGGGAAAUGAUAAAGGAAAGGGCUCUAUGGCUAAUGCUGAAGAAGGAGACAAUGAGGGACCUCUCUAUCCUCCAAGCUUUACUCCUCUACAUGUGCAGACCCAAGCUAAAGUAUACCUGCGGAAAUCCUCUGUCACAAUCAGGUCUCAGCAGUUUCAGGCCGGUGCCUCAAUACCAAUAAACUUCCAAGCUGAAUUAGGCUCUAACCCUAGAGAUAACCCAUUAAUCCUGCUAUCCCCAAUUUCGAUGAAAUGGCUGAAAAAGAAAAAACAAAGGAUGAAUUGCCGAAACAGCUAGAGGAAAGGUGUAAAUGGUUCGAAAAAAAAUUCAGAGCAAUGGAAAGCACUGAGAACUACCAUGGGAUUGAUGCUAAAGAUCUGAGCUUGGUCUCGAAUUUGGUACUCCCUUACAAGUUCAAAAUGCUAGAAUUUGAGAAAUGCAAUGGAACCAGUUGCCCUGAAGCUCAUAUCAGCAUGUUUUGUAAGCAAAUGACUGGAUAUGUUAACAAUGACCAACUGCUAAUACAUUGCUUCCAAGAUAGCCUCACAGAGGCAAUAUCUAAAUGGUACAAUCAAUUGAGCCGUACCAAGAUUAGUUCAUGGAGGGAUUUAGCACAAGCAUUCAUGAAGCAGUAUAGUCACGUAACAGAUAUAGUUUCAGAUAUCGGUCCUGGAAAGAGAAAUAACAAUGCUCUUUAUUAACACACUGAAAGCCUCAUUUAUCACACAUAUGUUAGGAAGUGCCACAAAAAGCUUUUCUGACAUAGUCAUGAAUGGUGAAAUGAUUGAAAAUGCCGUAAGAAGUGGGAAGAUUGAUGUUGGAGAAAGUAACAGAAGGCUAGCCUCAAAGAAAAAGGAAAAUGAGGUAAACAACACGAUUACAUAUAGCAAGGGUUACUCAAAAUCGAUUACGGUGAAUCAGGCAAGAAAGGUGGUUGCUAAUCAACAAGGUUCAUCAAGACAAGAAUCUAACACACGACAAAACACUGAGAAGAUCCAGUUCACACCAACUCCAAUUUCGUAUAGGGAGCUGUAUCAAAGUUUAUUCGAUGCACACGUUGUUUCCCCUUUCUACUUAAAACCUCUACAACCUCCGUACCCCAAAUGGUACGACGUGAAUGCACAAUACGAUUAUUAUGUGGGAAGUAAGGGGCAUUCCAUAGAAAAUUGCACUGCCUUUAAAAAGCUAGUUGAAAGGCUCAUCAGUAUGGACAUUGUCAAAUUGGAUGAUUCAUCUAGUGCAGAAAAUCCAUUACCUAAUUAUCCCGAUAAUGGAGUAAACAUGAUGAGUGAAAAUAUGGGGAGAAGAAUUAAGGCAGACAUUGUAGAAGUAAGAACCCCUUUGAGAUGGGUCUGGAAGAAGAUGGUAGAAAGGGGGUUAAUCAUUUAGAAGCUGCAGAAAGACGAGAAAUUAUUGUGAGUUCCAUCACGAAGGAGGGCACGAGAUCCAAAAGUGUAUAGAAUUCAGAGCCUUGGUUCAAGGCAUGAUGGAUGAUAAGGAAGUGGAGUUCUACGAAAAAGUCAUGGAAGAAGGAAGCAUAUGCGCGUUGGAAUCAAUGACAAAGGUUCUGAAAGUAAAACAUCCUGUGGUCAUCAUCUCGUGACCAAAGAAUAAUGAAGAGGGAGUACCGGUAAUGCCAAAGAUCAUAAUUCAGAAACCUACAACCUUCUCUUACAGGGAUAGCAAGAAAGUCUCGUGGAACUAUGACUGCAACGCAACCAUCCCGUAAAGGAGACUUCAGCCACUGCUGCAAAAGAGGAUCAGGGUAUAGGUUCUCAUACGCGUAGUGGGAAAUGCUACGAUUUGAUAAGUCCUCAAAUAGAACCAAUAAAAGGAAAGGCCAUAGUGAUGGAACAAAAGAAAGGGAAAGCAACCGAGCUUGUGUUACCUAUCAACGAGCCAGUAAAAGAGGAAGAGGCCAAGGAAUUCCUCAAAUUCAUGAAGCACAGUGAGUACAGUGUUGUGGAACAGUUGCAUAAAUAACCAGCUCGUAUAUCUGUUCUAGCCUUGCUCUUGAGUUCAGAGGUGCAUCGAAGUGCGUUGAUGAAAGUGCUGAACGAAACCUUUGUGGCCACUGAUAUCUCUAUCAAUAAAUUAGAUCGGCUGGUCAAUAAUAUAAGCACCGAUAACUUUAUCUUCUUCAACGAUGAUGAAAUACCACCUGGGGGUAUGGGGUCUACUGAAGCUUUGCACAUUACUAUCCGAUGCAAAGGGUAUACCUUGUAAGGAGUUUUGAUCGACAACGGAUCAACAUUGAAUGUAUUGCCUCUAUCCACACUUACCAGGUUUCCCAUGGAUAGCUCGUACAUGAAGACAUACUUGAAUAAAGUGAUGACAUUUGAUGGCACAGAACGGAAGGUCAUAGGAAGAAUCGAAAUACCCUUAUUGAUUGGUCCGACUAUCUGUGAGGUGGAUUUCUUUGUAAUGGAUAUUAAGCCUUCCUACAAUUGCUUAUUAGGGAGACUAUGGAUACAUUCGGUAGGGGCUAUACUGUCAUUAUUACAUCAGAAGUUGAAGCUAGUGUCAAAAGGUCAGUUGGUGACAAUAAAUGCCGAAGAGGAUAUCAUAGCGGUUAUAGCCAAUGAUGCGACAUACGUGGAAACUAAUGAUGAGGCAGUUGAAUGCUCCUUUCGAUCUUUGGAGUUUCUAACUGCAACAUUUAUUUCUAAGGGGAACAAAAUUCCAGUGCCUAAAAUAUCCAAAACCACGGUGAUGGGGUUAUAGUUGUUGGUAGGGAAAGGAGCUUUACCCGGAAGAGGAUUAGGGAGACAUCUUCAAAGAAGAAUUGAGGCUCCGGUACUGACAGAAAAACAAUAUCACUUUGGCUUAAGGUACAGGCCAGAUAUAAGACAGAGAAAGAAGGAGUUAGAAAAAAGGCAAGAAAGAAGAAGGGCACGCCUAAGUGGGGAGGAAAUUAAAUGGGAACCAAUGAUAAUUCCCCGCAUAUCCAAAACCUUUGUAUCAGGAGAGAUAAUUCAUCCUGAGAGAAGGAUACCGAUGGAAGAAUGAAUCGAAGAGAUGUUGAAAAAUGUUCACAUCAAUGCCAUACAUGAAGACACAAAUGAAGAAGGGGCCUUGUUAUAUAUUCAUCAUUGUAAACUUGGGAGUGUUCUAAAUAAUUGGACUGUAGAAGAAAUACCUGAAGUUUUUAGAGCUUUCUCAGAGUAAUAUUUGAAACACACUUGUUGUUUUAGCCUAGAGACAAUAAAAACUCCUUUGUGAAAUAGGCUCAUAUUCGAACAUCAUUAUUUUAAUGAAAUAUAUCUUUGCAAUUAUUUUGAGCAGAUAUUCCUUUAAGAUUCUUUCAUUCUUUUGUGUGAGUAAUUAUUUUGGAUUCUUUCAUUCUUUUGAAUUCUUUGCCAAAUCAUUCUUUCAUUAAUUCAUAAUCAUGCCAUACAAAUAAGUAUCCUUAAAUUCAUACAAUUCUUUGUAUAUUCCUUGGUACCUAUAACAGGUCCCCGGAUAUCAAUGACAUGAGUGAUUCUGUUAUGGACUCAGAAAAUCCUUUUGAACAAUACAUGUGUCUAGAGAGAUCUCAUGACUUUGAAGAUAACAUAGAUCAUAACUUAUCUCUGGACUUGUUGAGGAUGGUAGAGCAAGAAGAGAAACAAAUCAUACCUCAUAAGGAAACGUUGGAAAUUAUGACCUUGGAAGACGGAAAGGUCAUGAAAAUUGGGACAUGCGUAACCGAUGAAACGAAGUGAGACUUCAUCAAGUUACUUCAGGAGUUCAAAGAUGUCUUCGUAUGGUCAUACUAGGAUAUGCCCGGGUUAAGCAAUGAUAUUGUAGUGCAUCGCCUUCCUAUAAGAGACGAUUGCAAGCCAGUUCAGCAAACACUCUGGAGGAUAAGGCCUGACGUUAUACUAAAAAUAAAGGAGGAAGUUCAAAAGCAGUUCGAUGCUGGGUUCUUACAAGUGGUUAAGUACUCAGAAUGGGUGGCCAACAUUGUACCAGUCCCUAAGAAAGAUGGGAAGGUACGAAUGUUUGUAGAUUACAGAAAUUUGAAUAAGGCUAGUCUGAAAGAUAAUUUCCCCUUCCCUCACAUUGAUACCUUGACCUUGGUGGAUAACACAAUAGGAUACUUUUUUCUUUCAUGGACAGUUUCUCGGGAUAUAACCAAAUUAAGAUGCAUCCUGAAGAUAUGAGGAAUACCACUUUCAUAACCCUAUGGGGAAGUUUCUAUUAUAAAGUGAUGUCGUUCGGGUUGAAAAAUGCGGGAGCCACAUACCAGAGAGCCAUGGUGACCCUCUUCCAUGAUAUGAUGCAUAAAGAAAUUGAAUUCUAUGUUGACGACAUGAUUGCGAAAUCCCAGACAGAGAAGGAACAUGUGCAAGUCCUGAGAAAGUUGUUCUUGAGGUUAAGAAAGUUCCAAAUCAAACUCAAUCCAGCUAAAUGUACCUUUGGGGCAGGUCAGAAAAACUUUUGAGGUUUGUAGUCAAUGAAAAAGGGAUUGAAAUUGACCCAGACAAAGUCAAAGCUAUACAAGAAUUGCCUCCGCCACGUACUCAAAAAGAAGUUAGGGGAUUUUUAGGGAGACUAAAUUACAUUGCACGGUUCAUCUCACAACUAACUGAGAAAUGUGAUCCUAUAUUUCGUCUCCUUAAAAAGCAUAACUCAGGUGUAUGGGACGAAGAACGUCAGAAAGCUUUUGACAGAGUAAAGCAGUAUUUGUCCAGUACCCCAGUAAUGUCACUGCCUAGCUCGGAUAGGCCGCUGAUUUUGUAUUUAACGGUGUUUGAUAAUUCCACGGGAUGUGUGUUGGGCCAGCAUGAUGAGACAGGGAGGAAAGAAAAGGCAAUAAACUAUCUCAGUAAGAAAUUCACUGACUGUGAAAUGAGAUAUUCGCCUAUUGAAAAAAUAUGUUGUUCCCUGAUCUGGACGACACGAAGAUUGAAGUAAUACAUGCUCUACCAUAUGACUUGGCUAAUUUCAAAGUUAGACCCUUUAAAGUAUAUGAUGAAGUCAACUGUGUUGAAUGAGAGGAUGGCUAGAUGUCAAAUUUUGCUCUCUGAGUUUGAUAUAGUAUAUGUAAAUCAGAAGGCUGUGAAAUGGAGUGCGAUAGCAAACUUUUUGGCCAGCAGAGUUUUAAAAGACUAUUAACCUUUGGAUUUUGAUUUCUCGAAUGAAGACUUGAUGUAUGUGGGAACUACAGAAGAGGAUUCUCAAAAAAAUCGUCCUUGGUGGUUAAAUUUAAACGGAGCUUUGAAUGCCAUAGGUAAUGGGAUUGGGGCAAUCACUGUGUCCCCAAAUGGAGAUCAUUAUCCUUUUACCAGUAAAUUGGAUUUUGAUUGCACCAAUAACGUGGCUGAAUAUGAAGCUUGCAUCAUCGGUAUCAGGGCAGCCAUAGAGCGAAAAAUUAAGAUACUAGAGGUAUACGGGGACUCGACAUUGGUAAUAUACGAGCUCAAAGGGGAAUGGGAAAUGAGAAACCCAAAGUUAAUCCAUUAUCAGAGAUUGGUUCAGGACUUGAUCGAAGAUUUUGACUGUAUCACUUUUUGUUAUCUCCCACGAGAAAAAAAUUAGAUGGCUGAUGCUCUAGCUACCUUAGCCUCCAUGAUCAAAGUAAACAAACUAGAAGACAUGAAGCCUAUUGAAAUUAGCAUUUAGAAGACCCCGACCCAUUGCUACAGUAUUGAGGUAGAGGAAAAUGAUAACCAUCCUUGGUACCAAGAUAUAUUGAAAUAUAAGAAGAAUUGCUAGUACCCUGAUCAGGCAACGGAGAAUGAUAAGAGGACAUUGAGGAGACUAGCCAUUGACUAUGUCUUAGAUGGAGAGAUUUUAUACAAAAAGGGAAAUGAUCAGGUACUAUUGAGAUGCGUGGACACUGUAGAGGCCAAGGAAAUCUUGGAAGAAGUCCAUGAGGGUAUUUGCGGAACGCAUGCCAACGGAUUCACCAUGGCUAGAUAGAUUAUGAGAUUCGGGUAUUACUGGUCCACCAUGGAAAGAUAUUGCAUCAAUUAUACCAAAAAGUGCCAUAAAUGGCAAAUUUAUGGGGAAAAAAUUCACGCAGCUCCUUCACCCCUUCACGUUAUGACUUCUCCAUGGCCUUUCUCCAUGUGGGGUAUGGAUGUCAUCGGGCCAAUAUCCUUGAAGGCUUCUAAUCAGCAUCAUUUCAUCUUUGUGGUUAUUGACUAUUUCACUAAAUGGGUGGAAGCGGCUUCAUAUGCUAUUGUCACGAAGUCAGCAGUUACUAAGCUCUUGAAAAAAGAGAUCAUAUGUUGAUAUGGAAUGCCUGAAAGAAUCAUAUCUGACAAUGCGCUGAAUUUGAAUAGCAGCAAAAUAGCGGAAGUCUGCAGUCAAUUCAAGAUUAGACACCAUAAUUCGUCACCGUAUCACCCAAAAAUUAAUGGUGCAGUGGAGGUGGCCAACAAAAAUAUCAAGAAAAUUGUGGGGAAAAUGGCUGAAACUUAUAAGAACUGGCAUGAGAAAUUACCAUUUGCUCUUAUUGCCUAUCGAACAUCUAUCAGGACUUCUACUUGGGCAACACCUUUUUCUCUAGUUUACGGGAUAGAGGAAGUUUUACCAAUUGAAGUUGAAAUCCCAUCUCUUCGAGUAUUAGUUGAACUAAAAUUGGAUGAGGUUGAAUGGAUCCAAUCUCGAUAUGAUCAGUUGACCUGAUAAAAGGAAAAAGGCUAAAAGCUAUUCAUCACGGUCAGAUGUAUCAAAAAUGAAUGAUGCGAGCCUAUAACAAAAAGGUUCGUCCUAGAGAAUUCCAUGAGGGGGACCUAGUGUUGAAAAAAUUCCUUCCUCUACAAAAGGAUUUUAGAGGGAAGUGGAUGCCAAAUUGGGAAGGACCUUAUGUUGUAAAGAAGGUCUUUUCUAGAGGAGCUUUGACUUUGAAUGAGAUGGAUGGUAAAAACUUGCCAAAUCUUGUAAACUCAGACUCAGUAAAGAAAUACUUCACCUGAAGAAAGAAAAUAAAUUAAAGUGAAAACCGCAAAGAGCGCCUUGAGUCCUUGAAAAAAAUGAGAGGCCAAGGUGAAAACCCAUAAAGGGCAUCUUGAGACUAAAGGGGAUUUAAGUUGAAAACCCAAAAAGGGUGGCUCAAAUUUUGAUCAGAAUGAGACAUAAGGUGAUCAAAGUAGCAAAUUUUGAUCAGAUUGGCGCAUGUGGUGGUCUUGCUAUACUUGAAUCAACAAGAAAGGGUAGGCGAUAUCUUGGAGCAUCAAAAAAGUACUUAGAUCUCCUAAAAACGUGUCAAAAUCAGAAUGAUCUUCAGAAAGUUGUACAGAGAAGUUCAAGCUGCGAUAUGUGGGGCACCUAGUCUUUAUAAUAUUUAUAUUGAAUUUGUUGUUCUUGGAAUACUUCUUUCUUUUUCAAGAUACAUGUUCCCACUUAAUUCAUCUUUUAUUUUUACUAUCCUUGAUAAUUUAUUCAUUUCGGGCCGUGCUCUUAAAUCAGUUCUAUUUUUAUCCAUUGAUAUGAUCUUUUACAAGCAUGUUGCAUUGGAAUAAUGAUUAAUGGACUAAUAAUACUUUCUCAAAGGAAGUUUUGCAUAUUACUCUAGAAGUUUCUAAAUAAUACAGGAACCUGAAAUAGGACUAUUGUUUAGAAUGCACCAAGUUUAAAGGUUGAAAUAUCUAAAAAGGAAAAGUCUAAAUUAAGACUAUGUCUUCGGAUUUUGAUGUCAAAAACAUUGGUUGAACAAAAUAUCAUGCCGGUGAUAAAGCUUCGAUCGCCAAGCACUAAGAAGAAGUUAUCCUUGGAAAAAUUUCUAUACUCAUGCAUAAAUACCUGGUCACGACAUCUUAGGAAUGGUGUAAAUGACCAAAAUGAGGGUAGAAGAUUGUCAUACUAUACCCUUGAAUUGCAAUAAAAGAGGUUUGAAAAGAGUCAUAUCUUAUAGCCCUGGGUUGCAGUGGAAGAAAGAUGGCCCAAAACUCAGGUCUCAGAAGAACAGUUGAACCUUGAGGUUACAGUGAGGCAAACUGAUUGAAUGUUUCUUUGGGUAUUUGUUGAAGGCACCAGCUGAAUAAAACAACUCUAUAACACAUCAGUGAUGAAAUCUUCACGAACAAUGAGUAAUGACAACCCAAACAUUAAAAAAGGGGAUCAUCCUCAUUCUGCAUUCAUUCAUAGCAUCUAGUUAGUAAAUUUUGACUCAUUUCGAUCAUAACAUCCUAAUCAUUAGGCAUAAAUAGGUUCAUACAAUGGAUUCUACAUGUCAUGUUCCCUAGAGUGUAGAUUGGUGAAACUACAAUCCUAUACCACUGAAGUUGCAGUGGAAUAGAUUGAAGAAGAUGACAAAUAUUAUCUUCCUGAAGUUUCAGUGGAGUAGAUUAAAGCCAAUAAUCUUAUCUCCAUAAAGUUGCAGUAGAGCGGAUUAAAGUGAAGUUUGAUCUUCCUGAAGUUGCAGUGGAGCAGACUGAAGAUAGCAAAUGUUAUUCCCCUGAAGUGGCAGCGGAAUAGGUUAGAGCUAUAAAUUGCAGAUCUUAUCUCUCUGAAGUUACAAUAGAGUAGAUCAUAGCAAACCUUAUCUCCCUGAAGUUGUAGUGGAGCAAGUUGAAGUUACAAGUCUUAUCUCCCUGAAGUUGCAGUAGAGCAGACUGAAGAUAGCGAAUCUUAUUUCCCUGAAGUUGCAGUGGAACUGAUAGAAGCUAUAAAUUAUAGAUCUUAUCUCUCUAAAGUUGUAGUAGAGCAGAUCAUAUCAAACCUUAUAUCCAUAAAGUUGCAGUGGAGCAGAUUGAAGAAACCAAUCCUAUCUCCCUGAAGUUGCAAUGGAGUGAAUUAAAAUGAUGGAUCUUAUCUCUCUGAAGUUGCAAUAGAGCAGAUCACAUCAGACCUUAUUUCCUUGAAAUUACAGUGAAACAUGUGGAAGCUACAUGUCUUAUCUCCCUGAAGUUGCAGUGGAGCAGACUGAAGAUAGCAAAUGUUUCAUUGAAGAGAUACAAAUCUUAUUUCCCUAACGUUUACAGUGGAGUGGAUCGAAGCACCAAUACCUUUGAAGAUGCAAUAGGUUGGAAUUAGGAUACUUGAAGAAGUAGAGCACCAAGAUCCAGUACGACCUGGCAAAAUUGGUCAUUUCUAAAGUCUUUGCUCCGUUCCUGUUACAUUACAACGAGCAAAGAGGGGCAGCUGUAAUCGGCCCAAUUUGCCCGGCCCGUAUAUAAAUAAAUAAAACCAAAUACCAAAUAAAAAUUCAAAGUCCAAAUACAGUCCAAUUACAUUAAAAUUGCCAGCCCAAACCGAAACCCGAUUUCAAGCCCAAAUUCAAAAUACACCAAGACCCAAUCUAAAACCCAAUAAACAGUGACCCAAUUACAGAGGCCCAAUGCCUGGCCCUAGACCACGAAACAGAAACACUAGAAGAUCCAAGUGCCGCUCUUGCCCUCUGUGUGUGCCGAGUCUCUGUGCGCAUUCGCCUCCUUCGAGCUUGUACCUGUACAACAAAAAUGGCAACAAACAGCACAGGCUGGAAAAAUGGCAAGAAAAUAAAAAAAAUCGCAAAUAAAAGGCAACAAGCAGAUAACACAUUUAAAAUUAGAUUUUUUACAUUUUCCUUUUUCCAUGAUCUGCUAUAAAAAGCAAACUUGAUUGUAAAAGAGGGGAUACGAAAUCAGUGAAAAAAUACGAAAGAAAUAAAAAGUAAAAGUUUUCGAAAAGUGAUUUUCAUACUUUUCUUUUCUUCUAUUUUUCUCUGAUUUUUCUUUUCUAUUUUUUCUGUUAAUCGUAUAAAAAAAGAGAAAAAGGAAAGAGUUAAGGGUCGAGAGACUUACCUGGUGGUUGAACCUUCGCUCCCUACGUCCCAAUCGGAGUCUGGUGAAGGGCAGGGGCAAUAGGGCAUUUUGUUUUCCGAGUGCUGCGGCUAGGGUUUGCCAUUUGUAAAAAGUGGCUACUAUGAUUCAAUUUUGGCUUUCAAAACGGCACCAUUUGAGACCUGUGCUAAUGAUUUCAAAACGGUGUUGUUUUCGCAAUGAUCCGUGCUGUGACCCAACCCGAGGGAAGGAUCCGUGCGUGUUGUCUCAAUGUUUUAUUUGUGCAAUUGGUUCCCCCGCUUUUGUAACGUUCUUAAAUUGAUCCUCUUAUGUUUCUUAAAUUUUGCCACAUAUUUCAUUGUUUGUUUCAAUUUGGUCCAUGCUGAAACACAGCGUUUUGGGGCUGGGGAUAUUUUCCUCUUUAGUCCCCAUGUUAUUCGCACGUGCCUUUUUGGUCCUCAAUUCUUCUUUAUUUUCAUUUUUUCUUUUUAUUUUGACUUAAAUACAAUUUAAUCCAUACUUAUUUAAUUUAAUGUACUUGAUUUUUAUUAUGUUUAAAACUCAUUUUUCUGUUAUUUUUAGAUAUAUUUAUUUUUAAAUCUAACAUUCUUUUUAUGUUUAAGUUUAAUAUAUUUUUAAGUUUAUUAUCAAUACUAUUUUAAUAUUAUAAUAUAUUAUUAUUCUAAAUUUAUCAUUAACAUUAUUUUAGGUUUAUCAUGUAUUUUUAUUUAAAGUUAACAUAUAUUAUUAUUUUGAAUUUAUCACGUAUUAUUAUUUUUUUAAAUUAUCAUAAAAUUUUUUAAAUUUAUGAUGUAUUAUUAUUCCAAAUUUAUUAUAUAUUGUUUAUUGUAAAUUACUCUUUCAUUUCAAAUCAUCGUGGAUAUUAUUUGUAUUAAAUUAUAUCUUCAUAUAUAUUAUUUGUUUCAAUUCAUUCGUUGUUUUAAAUUCCAUCUAUAUAUAUUAUUUCUUUUGAAUUAUACUCAUUUUUUUUAAAUUACUUUGUUAUCAUUUUUCUAUAUAAUAUACCUUCUAAUUCUUCUUUACACAUCUUUUACUUAAAUAUUUUGUAUAUUAUGUUUACACAUUAUAUGUGUUAAAAUGUUUACAUGUAAUUUUAAAUGAUUUUUUUAAAAUUGAUUUAUUUUAAUUCGUUUCAUGUGUUCAUUUUAUUUUGAAUUGAUUUGUAUACUGGUUUUUUUAGCUUAUUACUUGCUUCACUUUGUUUUAUUUCAUGUACUAUUUAGUUGGUAUUGGGUUUUGUUUCAUGUAUUAUUUUAAGUUUAAAAACUAUUAUGUGCAUUUGAGUUUGUAUAUUCAUAUUUGUAUGGUAGUCUACCCAUGUAUAUUGUUCCAUGUUCAUACAUUUGCUUUUCAGUUCCGAACAUUACAUCGUAGUUAAAAUUUCCGAUUUAUUUGCCAAAAAUUAAUCAUUUCAUUUCGAAUAAAGAAAAUUUACAUCAUUGUUAAUAUUGCAUUAAACUUUUGCUUUAAUCCAAAUUCAUAAAAGAGGAGAAAAUGAAGUUUGCAAUAUGUCGUCUUUGGAACGAUGUAAAAUCGUGCCCUAACUUACGGGGUUUCAAUUUUUUCGUCGAACUAAAAAGGCUAAGCACGUUUUUAGUUCUCAAAUACACAAAGUUUUAUUAAAGGUUUUUAAAGGUUAGCUUAUGCUCGGGAAUUCAAAUGUUGCAUCCUAACUUACGAGAUACGACAUUUCGUUGCCUCGGGAUGAGAAGGCCUUUCUACGUAUGUUCAAAUUUAUAUAAAUAUUUAAAAAUAUAUCAUUAAUAAAAGGGGAAUCGUUUUUAAUCUUUUCAAAAUUUUGAAUUUCGACUUUAAAACAUUAAAUAAUCAAUUCGGUACCAAGUUUAGGCGUCACAAGAGUGCAAAUUCUUCCUCGUAUGUAACUGACUCCCGAACCCAUUUUUUCUGAAACUCGUAGACCAAAAUCAUUUUUAAAGUGAUCCAAUCACACCCCAAUAAAAUAUCGGUGGCGACUCUAAUUUUUAUUUUUUAAGUCGACUCUAUUUUUGUUUUUAAAAAGUGGUUUCGACAGCUGUGAUAGAAUUUUUUUGGUACAAUCAUUCAACAAAUAAAGGGGAAAAAAGGGGUAAAAUGUGAGUAAAGGGCUAAAGUAAACUGUGUAAAUUUUGUUUUGAAGUAUUUGAAAAAAUUGAAAAACUACGAUAGAAUCUUUUGGUAAAAUCAUUCAACAAAUAAAGGGAAAAAAUUGAGUAUGGAAUGAAUAAGUAUAUAUAUUAUUUCAUGUACUUUUUCUCUUAAAAAUAGUUAACAAAUUUAAAAUAAAAAUUGAAAUGUGUAAAAAAAAGUUUACACCACUACAUAAACCAUCAACGGGUGGAAGAGGCAAAUAGAAACUUUGAGUUCCAGAGUUCACUUAUGCUUCUCCACCAUUUCAAGAGUUCACUUCUUUUUUUUUUCCAUUACAAGACUUGUUCUUAACUCUAUAGUUAUUACAACAUGUAUGAUAUGAAAUUAUUAUUUUAUUAAUUGCGGUUGAUUAGUAUAGGCAGCUAAUUUAGGGUUUAUUACUUAGUUUAAAAAAUCUAUUUAUCUUAGUUUAAUACAUGAAAGUUGAAUAACUAAAUAAAAGAUACAAUAGAUCUGGAGGCAUUUAGUUACAAAGCUGUUUAUAAGGUAUUUUUCUGAAUUAUUUUGUGGUGUUAGUUAUAAGUAUUGUGAUUUAUGUUUCAAUUUUUGAAUUUUUUAUUAUUAGCUUUAAGUUUUAUAAUUAUUAUUUUAUUUUGAAUAUUUUACUAUCUGGUUUGAUCUCAUGUAAUGAAUAAAAAUUAUUUAUGUACAGCUAUAAAAAAUGACACGUUCGAGAAGUAAAUAAGUGAAGCUCCUAGUGAUGAUUACGGUUGGAGGUAGGGAGAACCUGUUGAAGGUGCUCGUAAUAAUGUCAAAUGGAAAUUUUGUGAAAGAGUCAUCAAAGGAGGAAUAACAUGGUUGAAAGAUCAUUUGGCAACAAAAAAAAGGUAAUGUAGCACCUUGUCCAAGUGUCUCGACAGAAGUUAGAAAAAACAUUGCUCAACAACUUAAUGAAUAUCAUAAUGAAAUUAUUGUGAAGCAAAGGAGGAAAGAAGAAUUGGAGGGAAGAAUAAGACUAGGAGAUCAUGGAGAUUAUGGUGAUAGUGAUGCUGAUGAUGAAGAGUUUACUAUUGCAAGACGUGAGAGUAUAAGAUCCAAAAUUGAAUGGGAAGAAAGGCAACAUCAAAGAGCAAGAACUGGUCAAGAUUCAGUUUAUGAAACUGAGGGAGGUAGUAGUUCUUAAACUCAAGUAUUUAGCAGAUCAUUCGGUAUCCAUAAUUCUAAAAAAAGUGGGAGGGAACAUCAGUGGACUAUUUUUAACUCUCCUAGAGCUAGAUUAGCAAAUAUGGAUCUUGUUCUUGAAAGAUCAAAAAGUUUGAAGCAACCAAAACUCACUACAAUCUUCUUGAAAAAUGAAAAAACAAACCUGGGGAAAGCAAUGUCAAAGUUAAUAUUGCAUGAAGCUUUACCUGCAAGAAUUGCAGAGUCACCAUUUCUACAGCCUAUACUCCAAGUUGCAACUGAAGUUGGAAAAUCAGUUAGGGGCCCUUCAGCUUAUGAGGUGACAGGAGUAUAUUUGGAAGAAGAGUAUAAGGAAAUACAAGAAUGGGUAAAUGCCUUUAAGCCUAUCUGGGAAGAAAGAGGUGUGACCAUUAUGUGUGAUGGAAGGAAAGAGACUAGAAAUCAACAUUUAAUUAAUUUCUUGAUUUAUAGUCCUCGAGGUACUAUUUUUAAAAAGUCAAUUUAUGCUAGCAGUGUUACCUCUCGUACUGCUGAGUAUUAUUUUAAUAUAAUGGAUAAAAUGGUGGAUGAAAUUGGUGAAGAAUUUAUUUUUCAGUUUGUUACAGAUAAUGAAGCAAUGAUCAAAGUCGGUGGUAAAAUGUUGAUGCAAAGAGAAUGCACUUCUAUUGGUCAGCAUGUUUUGCUGAUUGCUUGGAUCUUAUUUUGGAAGAAAUUGGUAACAAAAAAAGUGUGAGAAGGGUCCUAGAUGAAGCAAAAAAGAUAACUUCUUUCAUAUACAAUCAUACAUGGAUGAUUGAUUAUAUGAAGAGAUAUACCCAGGGAAGAGGACCCUUACUACCUGGGAUUACUAGAUUUGUUACCAAUUUCAUGCUUUGGAGAGUAUUGUUAGAAGCAAACAAACACUAAAAUAAAUGGUGACUUCUUUAGAAUGGAGAAGGUCCACAUAUGCAAGAAAACCAGCUGGAUUAGACAUGAUGGAAGCCAUUAACUCUAGCCAAUUUUGGAAAAAGGCUGUUGAUGUCCUAAAUAUCCAAGAACCGUUGGUUAAAGUAUUAAGGAUGUGUGAUGGUGAUGAAAAACCGACUAUGGGUUUUAUUUAUGAAACUAUGGAUAGAGUAAAGUUGGCGAUUCAAAGAGAUUGUCUCUAUUUCAAGAAAUAUUAGGAAAUAGUUGAUAAAAGAUGGAGUAAUCAACUUUAUAGUGAUUUACAUUCUCCUGGUACGUUGUAAAACUUUUAACUUUUUAAAUUAUGAAAUAUUUUGUUUAGAUAUUUAUUAUAUUAUUUUUAUAUAGGAUAUUUCUUAAAUCUACAAUUUCUGUAUGGAGGUAAUUCCACAAGUGAUGUGCUUAAUGAAACCAUUAAUGGGGUUAGAAAUGUUAUACAAAGGAUAGAGCCUAACAUGAAUGGUCAAGUUUUGGCAAUGAACCAGACAUUAUAAUAAAACAUUAUAAAUAUUUGGGUAAAGUACACCAACUCUCACUCAGUUUUGAUUUAAAUGACAAAACAGUCACUCAACUUUCAAAAAGUAACAAAUCAGUCCUACUAACCAUUUUUCGUUAUGUCUGUAACGAAAAAGUGACUUGGCAUUUAACCGACUCCUUGCUGUCAUUUAACUAACCAGUUAGAGGGUUUGCUGUCAUUUAAACUACCCCAUUUAAGAACCAUAGUUAGACAAUAAAAGAAUAAGAAGGAGAAUAAGAAGAAGAAGACAAUUGAAAUUCAAAUCCAGAAAACUCUAAUCCUAGAAAAGACAAUUGAAAUUUUACAUAUUGAUAAGGAAAAAUUAACCUUAUUAAUAGAUCUUAGAAACGAGAAGAAAAAUAAAAUAAAAUUGGAUAGGUUGGCAGAGAAUGAAAAAAUUAAUGGGAAUUGGUGGUGUGACCACUUCUAGCCGUCGUUCUCUUCCACCAUCAUAAGAAUAGAUUGCUUCUAGAAUCCGUUGAUAGGGAAUGCUCCAAUGUGUCUCAAUUUCUUUCAUCUUUCCCCCCACUUAUCAUACGAAUAAGUGUAUUGACUUGCCGUCAAAUGUAGUAGUUAGUUCAGGUCAAUUCCACACUUAAAGAGCUUGUUUUCUAAGCAAUUUAGGAUUUUAGUUUACAUUUUCAAUAUUUAGGCUUUAGGAUAGAAAGUUAAGAAAAAUAAGUGAUUUUAACACAUUUGGUAGGUGUUGUGACCCAAUAGGCCGAUAUGGGCAUUAGAUUGUGCUAAUUGGUUUAAAUGAGUUUGUAGGAUAGAUAUAUAAAGGCCCAAUUGACGUGGAAGCAAAGGUCAAGUAGUGCACAAGCUUCCUGGGCCAUCAAAGCACGAAAGGAAUGAUACAAGGUAAUAUUUAGGUGCCGUGUCGCACCACGCAAGUGGUGUGGCGCGAUACAAGGCCGACAUGUUGCCCAAGUUAUAGCCUCUCAAACCCAACCUAGACGUUAUUGCUGAAUCAUGAAUAUUACAUUGGCCAUUGGAAUGACAUGAAAAAACGUUCCUAUUUUAAAUCACUCUUUAAAACCAAUUGUCGUUUUACUUAAGACUAGUGAUCUCAAUUAUUUUCUUUGUUUCAAGAAAAUCAUAUAAUUUCAAAAUCAUUAAGUGUUUUUAGAGUUUCGUUUGUAAAGAUUAAUUAUUUUGAAAAUACUAAGUUAUAUUUGUUAAAAACAAACUUUUAAUUAUUGCAACAAAAAAAAUAUAUUAAAAUCAUAUUGUUGUUAAAAAUUAAUUUUCUAUGUAUUUUAAAUAAAACAUCAGUGAGCAGAUAAAAACUCCAAAUCAUGCAAAUAUAAAAUAAAAAUCGCUAAAUAUAAAGUCUCAUGUCAUAGUCUAUAAGAAAAUCAUUACAGUCCCAAUAAUAAUCAUAUAAUAAAGUUUUAAGUAUUUAAAAUAAACCAUCUGAGAACCCUUGCGAUAGCCACGUCCAAGUCCUAACCUUGGGGAUUAUAUGAAAUCAAAUCAGAAACUAAGCGGUGAGAUAAUAAGCUUAGUGUGAGUCUUAACUUAUAUAGCAACAAUAAUUUAAAACAUACAUUUCAAAAUAUAGCAGAAAAUAUAUAUAAGCAAUCCAAUUUCACAUAUGUCAAUAUGUAUGACAAUGUCGAUGCAGAGUUUUUCAAAAACGUUCCUACCCAACUCCGCUACACACCAUAAAAGAGUUCCACAGGACUCAUCCAUCCAAUAACAUACCAAAAUUGUGAACAAACAACCAGAUGUUGUAGAUAUAUUGCCGGAAUAUAUAGAUAUACCACCAAAAUGUGUAGAUCAUUAGACUACUAGAAAAUUCCUCCUUAUAGUAUAGUCCCAACCCCAUUCAAUGUGAUAUUGCAUAUAGAAAUAGAUAUAUCUCAAAAGGCAUCUUAACAUGCGAUCAUAUUUUGUUAACAAAAAUAGUAGGCAUGGGUUUUCUUUUUAUGCUUAUCAGAACAAAAAUAAUAGUGUCCAUGAUUUAUCAUGAUAUUAGAUUUACUCAAUCAAAAAUUAUUUCAUUUAAUUGAAUAAAAUAGGUGUUAGAACAAACAUAUAAAUUUGUCGAUCAACAAAUAAUUCAACAAAAAGUUUGUAGUCAUAGUACACACCUUAACCCAUUUCAGAACAUUAUAUUGGCAUAAUUGACUAACACAUAUUUAAACUAAAAUUUAAUAUUAAUAAUAUUCACACAACCAAAACUUAAACUUUUUCAUAUGUAAGAACAUAAGGUAAGACACAUACCUCUUUUCGAUCAUCCAAAAUCUUAGAUCUAAAUUGUGGUAUUCUACUGACCCAAAUCUGAAUAUUUAACAUAUGGUAAUAUUUAAGUUAUUACUGUAUUAAAUCUAAUCUUACGAGAUUCAAAUAGAAAACUAAUUUUUUGUUAACACUUACAUUUCUACGGUUAAAUAUAAAUUCCACUCCUUAAAUCACAGAAGAUUGCAUACUUUGACAACAAUACUUCAACCCAAAAACACGAAGUUAGAAUAUAGUAUUUAAUCAUCUCUUUAAAAGUCAGAAAAUGUUGUUGACAUCCAAGAUUUAAAGUACUUAGGAUCUUGAUAAAUAAAAAAUCGAACAUGGUGGUAAGGAUCAUCGAAGAUUAUGAACGACGCCAAAAAUAUCUAAUAUAUCACACAAGUAGAGACAAUGAAUAGAUUUAAGUUACAAAAAAUUGAACAUGGUGGUAAGGAUCAUCAAAGAUUAUGAGUGACGCCAAAAAUAUCUAAUAUAUCACAAAAGUAGAGACAAUGAAUAGAUUUAAGUUAUAAACAUAAAUAAAAAAUGAUAUGUGAAGAAAAAGAAAAUGGAAGAAAAACUAUUGGUGUAUGGUGAUUGCCUACGACGAGUGAAGAUGAUCAUGGAGGCAGACGACAAUAGACAGUGGUAGCGGCUAAGAGGGGUGGCGCAAAGGUGACUCAAAGAAGAAGGACUGGCGUAUGGUGGUGGGAUAAAUGAAAGUCAUAAAAAAAUAAAAGAAAGAGAAGCAAAAAGUAGUUGUGAGCAACCAAGAGGGGCCGACACAGGGAGGUUGAAAGGGAGGAGGAAAGAGAGAAAAAAAGUGUUGCAAGAAUGAAAAACAAAAAAAAAUGCAUGCUUCAUAAGGGUUGGACAACUACACCUAAUCAACACACCACAAUUUGCAAAGAAAGGGAUACAUGGGAAGUAAAAGUUGGAUCAUGAUGGGGACAAAUGGAGUGGACAACGAUAGGGAGUUUAACUCCUUUAUAAGGGAGGAAAGAGUCUCCCUUAUAAGGAAACUAGGAGGGACACAAUUAAAAUUUAAAUGCAAAAAUUUUAAAAAAAGGAGAGGGGAACCAAACUUGGGUCAUAAGGGAGGCUUAGGUUACUCCUAACCACUAGGCUAGAACUCACACUUGUUCAAGGAUUAACAAGAACUAAAUUUAAAUUUGGUCUGACCACUCUACCCUUCUUAAAAAAAAUUUCGUCUGCAAAAUUCACCUGAUCAAAACAGAUAGGGAUAUUGUUGAAGAUUAGAGUCCCCAGGCUCCUAAGUAGAUUCAUCAGUGCCAUGAUUUCGCCAUAACACCUUUACUAGUUGAAUUUUCUUUUUCCUUAAUACCUUAACCUCACUAUCCAAGAUCUAGAUUGGAUCCUCCUCAAAAGAUAAUUUUGAUCUCACCUCGAUUUCCUCAACCAGAACGACAUGAGAUGGGUCAGAUUGGUACCGCAUUAGCAUAGAGACAUUAAACACAUCAUGGAUAUGGUCCAACUCCAAAAGGUAACUCCAGCUUAUAAGCCACCUGUCAAAUUCUCUUAAGAAUCCUAUAAGUUCCAAUAAACCUAGGGCUCAGCUUGCCCUUCUGACCAAACUCAAAACCUUCUUUCAGGACAAUACCUUAAGGAAUAUCUGAUACCUGACACUAAACUCUGCAUCCUUCCUCUUCAAAUCUGCAUAGGAUUUUUGUUGAUCCGGUGCCACUCUCAAUUUUGCCUGAAUUACCUUAACAAUAGCCUCAGUCUUCUGAACUAAAUCCAAACCCAUCAUUUUCUUUUCACCUAACUCAGUCAAACACAAAGAUGUCUAACACCUUUGACCAUACAAUGUCUCAUAGUGUGCCAUAUGAUUGCUUUAUUAAAAGUUGUUAUUAUACACAAACUCUACUAGCGGCAAAUGGUCUUUCCAACUACCUCAAAAAUCGAUUAGACAACCCCUCAACAUAUCCUCAAGAAUUUGUAUUACUUGCCCAGAUUGCCCACCAGAUUGUGGAUGAAAAGUAGUGCCAAAGUCCAAUUGAGUACCAAGAGCCUCAUGCAGCUUUUUAUAAAAUCAAGAUGUAAAACAAGGAUCCUAGUACGGAAUGAUAGGUGCUGAUACCCCAUACAGUUUCAUUAUCUCUGAAAUAUACAAUCUCACUAACUUUUGUAGAGAGUAAUCUAUAUGGACUGGUAGGAAGUGAGCUGACUUAGUCAGUCUUUCCACAAUCAUCUAGAUUGAAUCCUUCUUAGUAGGUGUAAAUGGCAACCCACAAACAAAAUCCAUAGUCACUUUCUCCCAUUUCAAUUGAAGAAUCUAAAUAGGUUGUAACAAGCCAGAAGGGAACGGAUGCUCAACUUUAACUUGCUGGCAUGUUAGACACUUAGCCACAAACUCGGUUACCUCAUGCUUAAGACUUGACCUCCAAUACAGUUCUUUCAAAUCCCACUACAUCUUAUUCCUUUUAGGAAGCAUAGCGUAAGGGCUACUAUACGCUUCCUAAAGGAUAGACUAUCUCAGGUCUUUGUCAUCCGACACACAGUAUCUUCCACGAUAGCACAACACAGCAUCAGAGUCAAACCCAAAGUAUGAAGUCUUACCCUCAUCAAUCUAUUUAAUUCGAGGCAUAAGAGAAACAUUUAGAGGUUGCUUCAUAUUAACUCCUCAACCAUAGUAAGCUUUACUUGUAACUUCACAAGUAAUCCUCCAUUCUUUGACAAACUCAACUUAGCGAACAUCGCUCUCAAAUCGAUCAUUGACCUCCUACAUAGUUCAUCAGCCACGAUGUUAAGUUUCCUCGGAUAUUACUCAAUGGUACAAUCAUAGUCCUUAAGCAACUCUAUCCAUCUCUGCUGCUUUAAUUUAACUCCUUUUGGAAGAGAAAUAACUUAAGGCUCUUGUGAUCCGUGUGAAUGAUACACUUCUCACCAUACAGAUAGUGUCUCCAAAUUUUAAUGAAAAAAAUAAUAACUGCCAGCUCAAGGUCAUGAGUCGAGUAAUUACAUUCGUGCGGUUUAAGUAGUCUCAAUGCAUAGGUUACUAUCUUACCAUAUUGCAUCAGCACACAACCAAGACCGGUAUGGGACGUAUCACUAUAAACCACAUAAUCCUUCCCAGACUUGGGUUGAAUCAGAGUUGGUGCUUGAGUCAACAUGAACUUAAACUUCUCAAAACUAGCUUGCUGCUCCUUAGUUCAUUUAAAACGAGCACUCUUCGUCAACAGCUUAGUCAUAGAAGUCACAAUGAGUGAAAAUCCUUCCAAAAACCUCCAAUAAUAACCAGCUAAUCCAAGGAAACUUUGGAUCUCACUAACAUUCUUAGGUCGCUUCCAAUCCAAGAUGGCCUUAGCUGAUACCAUAUGCCUCAAAAACAUCACCUUUUAGAGCUAGAAUUCACACUUACUCAGCUGAGCAUAAAGCUUCUUCUCACAGAGGAUCUAUAAAACAACCUUCAAAUGUUCAUCGUGCUCAAAUUCAGGCUUAGAGUAGAUCAAAAUGUUGUCAAUGAAGAUAAUAACAAAAUAGUUAAGGGAAGGCUGAAAUACUUAGUUCAUUUAGUCCAUAAGAAUAGUUGGAGCAUUCAUAAGACCAAAUGCCAUCACUAGGAACUCAUAGUGACCAUACCGAGUACUGAAUGCGAUUUUAGGUGCAUCAGAUUCCUUCACCUUCAGUUGAUACCUUAAGUCAAUCUUAGAAAAUGUCGUGACACCUCUGAAUUGAUCAAAUAAGUCAUAUUUCCUUAGUAGAUAAUACUUAUUCUUUGUAGCCACCUUGUUCAGUUGCCAGUAAUUGAUAUAAAGUCUCAUAGAUCCAUAUUUCUUCUUAAGAAAUAAGAUGAGAGCUCUCCAUGGCCAAACACUCGGUUUUAGGAAACCACAGUCCAAAAGUUUCUGAAGUUGAACCUUAAGCUCCUUACACUACUUAGGUGCCAUACAGUAGGGAUCAAUGGUCACCUAAGUAGUCCCAGGCAACAAAUUUAUCCUAAAUUCAACCUCUUGCUCCUAAGGUAAUCGAGGCAACUCUUUUGAAAAAAUGUCGAAAAAUUCACUCACGGUAUGAAUACCUUCCACAACUGAUCCACUAACAAUCAUGUCUAGAACGUAAGCCAGAUAAGCUUUGCAUCCCUUAUAAAGAAACUUUUCAGCCACUAAAGUGGAGAUCACCAUAGAUAAGUAAUCUUUACAAUACUGAUCUCCUUACCAACAGAUGUCUUCAAAGUGACCCUCUUCAAAGCGUAAUCUAAACUGGCUUGGUGUUUCAUGAACCAGACCAUACACAAAAUGUAACCCUUCGAACCCGGUGUAGACAUUAUGCUCGAAUCGUGAAAGUCACAUAGGACACCUAAACUAUGAUUCUAUCCUAUCGACGGUUGAAAACUUUAAAUACACUCUCUUUUUAGUAAAACCGCGGUUACCUUGGUUAUUUUGAGAAAAAAGGUUUAUUAUAAGAUCCAAUAUUUAUUAAGUUAGGUUUGAAGCACUAACAUGGUUUUUGGAAAACUCUUUUCAGAUCGUUGCUUUUGAAAAAUAACUUUGAUUAUCUUUGUUGCAACAAAAAAACCAAAUAAAAAUCCCAAUUAUUAAUUAAGCAAAGUAACAUGCUUAAUUCAGUUUCAAUAUAUAAUAAUAAGUCAUUCUCAUGUGUGAAGUUAUGCAUGCAUAAAAAAUCCCUAAAAUAGAAACAGUCCCAAACCACAGUUCAAAUCAGUUUACAGUCCAAAAAUCUAAAUAAAUUUAAGGAAACUUUAAAUAAUAAUUCAAUAAAAAUAAAUAUGAAGUCUGGACUCCGUCAUACAUCCACAUACCAAAUUCGGUCCUAGUUUCGUUCAUUACCUGAGAAGUUGAAGUUAUGGAGUGAGCUUAACAAGCUCAGUGUGAGUCUAAACAACCAAGCAUAUUAUAUACAUUCAAGCAUUUUCUUAUGGAACCAAAUAACACAAUAAAACAUCAAUAGUAACAUUUUUAUGUAAAAUGAUCAAGACACAAUGUACAUGUGAGUUCCUACCCAAACCAUCUGCUACACACCACAAGUUGCCCAGAACCCGUUUGCCAAACUCCAACGAAUUCGAGCAAAGCUCGAUGUGGUGAAAACCAUUGAAUAAAAUAAAGGAAAAAAUCUGUCGAAUAACAAAUAGUGCGAUAAAAUCGCCAUUCCCCUCGGUACUUCUAGUGCAGUGCGCUGACUACAAAAUAAAUGUAGACUUAAUAUGACGCCAGCACUCCACGGAACUCCUCUAUCAACCACAAUAAGUACCCAUCCCAAUGCACAUGCAGUAUGUCACACAAUCUCAUACAUAACCAUAAUUCAAUACUUUCACAUUUAAUUGGCAUGUUGAAGACGCCCUAAAUUACAAAAUAAUUUCAAUGAAUGGAAUUGAUAAUCCAACUUUCAGUUUACCAUUAAAAUGGUAUCAUUCAACAGAUCACAAUUUCAUAUACUUGUACGAACUUUUCAUUGUGCAUGUAUACCAAUAUUUCCAAUAUUUCAUAGCAAUUCUUUCAUACAAAUAUAUCAUGCAUAAAUUUCAAAAAAAUCAUGCUAUACAUACCACCAAUCAUAUAUCAAAUAGAUCAAUCAUUCAUCACCAUAUCAGUCACGUAAUUAUACUGUCAAACUAGAAACUUUGCUAACAUGUCAAGUUGUUAGGGCUCGAAACGUACUUGGUUCGACCACUCACAAAUUUAAUUACUUAGCUAUUAAGCCAAGCCCGAUCAGCAAGCUAAUCAAUUAAAUCAUAAUAAUUAUUAUUACCAAUCAAGUUAUUGAGUUUAGGACUCAUACCUUAUUUUACGCUUUUUUGCAACACACUAGCGAAUCUUACGGUUAAUCUAAUAAACUUUAAAACGAACCUAAAUUAAAAUUAGUAUAAAACUCAAUCAAUACACCUCUUAAAUAGACCCUAAACACACAAUUAUGGGUUUGAUCCAAAUCCUCACAAUUACAACUAUUUUUCGAAUGCAAACUAGUUAGAUUUCUUACACUAAUUUGAGGCAAAUUGUAGGCACAAACAUCUUUCGGAUUUAGUACUAAUUUGGGGCAUUUAAUUCGGCACCUAACAUAUUUAAUUAUUUAAAAUAAGUUUCUAAUAUAUGAUUAAAAAUUUAUUAUCAAUUAAUAAGUUUUCCCAAUAUCUAAACCGAAACUAUUCACUAGUUUGCAAUUAACCACACUUAUACUUCCCGAAUUGUCAAAUCUAAAUUGUCUAUUGAUCAAUAUCAAUUUUCCCUAAUUAAAAAAUGUUUAAAGGCUGAUUAGGAGAGGUUCAAGAACUCAAGAUAAUGGUGGAAAAAUAUGGGAAAUAAAUACAUAAAACAACCCCCUUUUCUUGCUCAUAGGCACGCGCACUGCUACCCACGGUGGCCAAAUUGGGGCUAAUUUAAAAGCACUUUUCAGAUCAAUUAAAAAGCUAGAAAAUACCCAUCAAAUAUUUAAAAAUCCCCAAAAUUCUAGAUCUGAAAAUUUAGGUUUUUCUUUGACAAUAUUUAUCAAGAAAUUGGUAGAAAAUGAGAUCUUAUACAAGCUAGAUGAUGGAAUCGAUCUUGAAGAUUCAAGAUUUCAAAUUUGGGGCCGAAUAUAUUAGGGAAAAAUGGGAGCAAGCUGGUGGAGAAGUUGAUCAAAAUCUUGUGGAAAAAAGAAAAUAAAAAUAUGAUAAAUGAAAGUUAUUGGCGGCAAAAACAAUGGAGGAAGAAAGAAAAAUAAAAUUGAGAGGAGGAGGAGAGGAUGAGAAGGAUGGCUAGAGUGGAAAAAAUAAAAUUAAAGGCUGAUCAUUUUGUGUAAAAAUAAUAUUUAUACCUUGAUUUAUAAGGGUAUGGACGACACAGUCAUUCAAAAUUUAAUUAUUUGCAAUGGAAAGGAUUUGAACUUGAGACAUUUUAAUUUCCAUGCUUUCUCAUUUAACAACUAACCACUGAGCUAACUUCUAAUUUUUUAUAUAAUUCUACAUUCUCAUUAAGCUAAAAUUUGAGAUGUUACACCAUACCCAAUAUUAGAUCAAAUUCCACGAAAGGCAACUCCAUCAGACCUGCAAGAAAUAUUUUCCCCUGAACUUCGAACGGGUAUCUCCUAUAAAUCUUAUUCAAAGUAACAAACUGUCCUAAAGGAUUGUCUAUAGUUACAUCAGUAAUAGUUUCUUUUACCUAUAUCCUCAGUUUAUCAGGCACCAAAUAGGAAACACACGAGUGUGUAGAUCCAAUAUCUAUCAAAGCGAAGUACUGAACAAAAUUAAUUGUAAAAGUACCUGUUAUGACAUCAAAUGCAUCAUGAUUCUCUCUAUGGUAGGCCGUAUAAACAAGUGCAAGCUAUCUGGCAUUAGUCUGAUCUACACCAUGACCUGGUGCUCGUUGUCCCUGCCUAACAUUACCGCCUCUAUCCUGACCUUGACCCCUCUGAGGCUGCUAUCCAGGACUUUGAUUUUGAACUUUGUUCUGCACUAGUGCUUGCAUCUUAUCAUUAUGACGCGAACAAUAUUUAUUCUUAUGGUCUAUAGACCCACAUCUCAAACAGGCACCCAUCCUUCUCCAACAAUCACUUGGAUGUUGCUUACCACAAGAAGCAUAGUUCUGAAUCCUGCCUCCAGUACCGACUAGCACAGUACUCUGCCAAGGUCUAUCAUCUUUGGCCAGCUUAAUGGGUCGCGAAGGCAUGGCAGUGGGACCAACAUCCCUCUUAGUAUGGGCCUUAGCAUUUUUUCUCAUCUCACACUCCACACUCUUAACUUCCUAAACAAUAUUGGUUUUCUCCACAAAAUUUUUGAAAACCCUCUCUUGGUGUAGGGUGACGUGGAUCAUCAAAUCAUACCGUAACCCAUUUUCAAAUCUAAUACACUUAUCCUACUUUGUCGCAACCAUCCCCUAAGCAUACCGACGGAGCCUUAAGAAUUUGGCCUCAUACUUAGCCACAGACAUGUGUCAUUACUUCAACUUAAUAAAUUCAUGCCUUUGGGCUUCAACAUAUCUAGUGUCCAUGUAUUUCUUAUGGAAUGCUUCUUGGAAAUAGUCUUAUGUCAAUCUCUCCUCCUACGUAUCUUUCAUGAUAGAUUGCCACCAUCGAUAAGCCUUGUCACUUAACAACAAUACUGUAACCUUCAAUUUCUUCUUGGGGUUACAAUCCAUGUCAUCCAAAAAUUUUUCAGUAGCCUCCAUCCAAUACUCAGUGUAACACCGCUAACCCGUAUCCGACCCCGAAACCGUGUUAUAAAGUAUUACCGGACUUAUAGUUCAAUCAAUCAAACUUUUCAUGUACAUUUCUUAUUUAAUUCAAAAUAAACCAUUCAUAGACAAUCAUAUGGCCCCUAAUACGAGCCCUCAAAGCCCAAAAUAAACAUUAAAAGUGGUUUAGGACUAAACCGAGUACUCAAGAAAUUUUUAGGAAAACAUGGAAAAUUUUCAAAGUGCAGGGGACACACGCCCGUGUGGCCAGGCCAUAUGUCUCACACAACCAAGAGACACACCUGUGUCUUAGGCCGUGUGGGCAUUCGAAAUGAGGACACAUGGUCAUGUCUGAGCCCGUGUAACUCAUUGACUUGGGUCACACGGCCAGACCACACGCCCGUGUGCCAGGUCCUCUGCUAGGUCGUGUAAAACCAAGAGGGUAUACUGACUUGUGCCACAUGGCCAAGCCACAUGCCUGUGUGCUCGGCCGUGUGAAGCUACUAACUUGGUUUCUAAGAAAGUUACAGGGGACACACGACCAUGUCACCUGGCCAUGUGUCACACACAGCUGAGACACACUCCCGUGUCUCUGCCCGCGUGGACAAAAAUAGGUCAUUUUCAAGCCAUAUUUCUCACCCAAAAUUGGUACCAACCUACACACAUCAAUAUGCAUAUAACCAUGGCAUAAAUAGGCAUUCAAAACCAACCAAUGUCAAGUUAAUAACAUGUAAUAAUAUCACAUACUAUCAUGAUAAAUAUAGGCAACUCCAAUGGCCACUCAUAAUCAUGCAAACCUAAUUGGUCAAACACAUAUAUGCAAACUUUGUGCCUAAAAACCUAACACGUAUGCUACUUAUAAAUCUCAACCAUUUGGUACCCAAAAUACCAAUUCACAACCAAGUCAUUCACAUAGCAACCAUACAUCAUAUACUAUGAGACCAUUUAUAUAUAUAUACAUACCAAAAUACAUGACCACCUUUCAAGCCAAUUCAAAUGGCCAAAACUCAACGAGACAUAUAGGCCACAUUAGCAAAAAUACCUAUACAUGCCAUUUAACCAAAAUAUAAAGUCCAAACGGAAAAAUAAACGGAGUAAGCAAUUAAGCUCAGUAAGUUCGUAAAACAUAGAAUAAAACAUACCGUAUUACCACAAAUUUAGGUAAAUAACUCAAAGCAUAAAUCAAUUCAAUUUUUGCCAAAGCCUAUCACAAAACCAUUCACAAAGUUAGCCAUGUAUACACAUAAAAACCAAGAAUCAUGUAUGAAUUCAACAAUUAUUAAUGUACAUGUAGCAUCUCUACCGUAUAUCUGUAUAUCAUAUAUAUAAAAUCCAUCUCCAUGUAAAUACAUGUACUAGUUCAUAUUGAACUUAUAUUAUCUUGUAAUAACAUUAUGCUCGUUGAACCACUUAGAGUACACGCGAGGUGUACUGAACUGUAAUAUGUCAAUUCCUAUACAUGUAGGCUCAUACGAGCGAUAAAUGGUAAGCUCUUCUGAGCUGAAUAUCAGAAAGCUCCUACGAGUUGCAAAUCAGUACGCUCAUACGAGUUGUGGUGAGUCCGUAACACAUGGAGGACCUCAACCAAAACAGUAACCCUAAUGACAUGUCAUUUGUAUCCUACGAAUUUUUAAGGUUCAAACGAGGUUCGAUAUUCUUCGUACAUUGUCAGUUAUGUAGUUGAUAAUUAUACAUAAUAAUUAAACUAAUCAUAUACAUAUAUAUUUCAAUUAAAACAUAUAACUACAUAAUGCAUUUACACGAAGUUACCUCAAACUCAAACAGAGAAUACGAUCGUUUAAUCCACGACUUUAUUUUUUCCCCGAUUUAGUUCCGAAUGUUGUUUUUCUUGAUCUAUAUAAUCAAAUUUAACUCAUUUAAUCAUAUUUCUAAUUAAUUUAAUCCAAAUUUCAUGUUAUGGAAAAAUUACCAUUUUACCCCUAAACAUUUGACUUUUUUACAAUUUAGUCCUUAAACUCGAAAAUGAAAUUCAUGAAAAUUCACUACACAUCACAAAUUUACACAUUUAACACACAAAAUUCACAUUGUUCAAAUUACCCCUAAUUGGGAAUUUCAUUAAAACUCACUAAACAAAAGUUGCUUAAUUAACAACAAUGAUUCAUUUUCUUGCAUUAAACUUCAAGAACAACAAGAAUGCUCUCAUAGCAAAACCCUAGACUUUCAACCAUUUUGAAAAUUAAUCCCCUAAUUAGCUAGGUUAAGCAACAACGAUUCCAAAAAAAAUAAAAAUCAACAGAAACAAACAUCAAAUUCACUUACAUGCUAUGGGUUUAUUGUAACACCCCAUACCCGACCCAGACGUUAUGGUCGGAUCCAGCGAUGUCACAUGAUAGGGUGUUUGAAAAUCAUUUCUUCGCGUUAAAACCAUUUCCAUUGAAUAUCUUAUCUUAAUAUCUUAUUAAAUCCAAAAUUGUGUUGCUCAUUUGAUCGAUAGUUUCAAAACGUUAUUCGUUUGCAGAAGCUUUUAAAACAGAUUAAAUAAUCGUGCAUUUAGGAAAAAGAUUUGUUUCUUUUGAAAACUGAGGUUUCAUACUACUAGCAGUUGUAAUCCAUAAGGUAAAGAUAAUUAAAAUCCAAAACCAAAGUCCAGAAGUCCAAUUACAACCUAAAAACUUAGCUAGUAAAAAUAGAAUAGAAAUAAAACCAAUUAUCGUAAAUAUGAGUUAAAAACCAUGAAAGUCCAAAACUAUGGUCACUGCCGCACCGAUCUGUCUAGAUCUGGGGAUUACCUGUGAACAUUUAAACAAAAGGGGUAAGUUGACGAAAACUCAGUGUGUAAUCCCAUAGAAAAUAAGCAAUAACAAAUCACAGUGCCCAGUUAAAGCAGUUCUAGGCCUAAGCCUUUUUUCAGUAUCAGAAACAGUUUGGGCCUUAGCCCAUCUCAGUACAAUAUCAAAUAUGCAGUAUGGCCUUAGCCCAUCACAGUAUCAGUAGCAGUCAUGCAAUAUUCAGCAACAAAGUCCUACCCAACCAGCCUCUACACACCAUCUCCGUUCAACCCUACACUCCAUGUGGGGAUCAAAUCAACCCACCCAUCCUUACACUCCAGGUAGUAUCGAAUGCAGUACAAAACAAUAAUUUGCAGCUAAGCUGCCAGUGUGUUAGACUUAAGAGCCUUCCAGUACACUUCCUCCAAAUAUAAUUAACCCACCCCCAUGCAAUGCAACAUACAAGUCAUGACAUGCUAUCUUAAGACAUUAGUACAUAAAACCAGUUCAGUAUACAAGCAUACUAUCAUCAUGCUCAACACAUAUAUAAAUCAAAUAGUCAGUUCGUACAAUUAGGGGUCUAAGUGAUGCUUACCGACCCUACAGUAGGUUCCCAGUAAACUUGGGCUACCCUUGCAACCUUAGCAAUCAAUUCAAUGAAAAUGGGCUCACACACCCAUGUGAUCUACCCGUGUAGGCCCACACGCCCAUGUGGCCCACUCGGCCAAAUUGGUUUUCGCUGCAUGGUCCAUUUUUAAUGUAACUCGUGCUAGCUAAAUAAUCAUAUAUGUUUCCACUAUUUAUUUACAUGUUCCUUCAAAUUUGUCUACUUGAGUCACUAUUACUAAAUUAUUUAUAUCUUGAGCUACAGAAUUCCAAAGUAAGGUACGCUUGAUGUAUUUGAAACUAGACUCAAAUACCUUUCUACAAUAAAAUUUUCAGAAUUUUUGGUUCAGCCACUAAGUACAGUAAAAUCUUUAAUCUUACCCCUGUUCUACUGUCUGACAGUUUCAACCUUUCUUUGCAAAAAAUUAAUUAUCUCUUAGUACAAAAUUUGGGUGAUGUUACCAUUUGUUUUUAUUAAAAUAGACUCAUUAAUAAUUUAAACAUGUAAAUUUUAACCCCUAAUUAUUUUUCUCCAAUUUUUGAUGAUUUUCUGAAUUUAGAAUAGGGGAACCCGAAUUCAUUCUGACCUUGUCUAACAAAACUUAUUAUAUCUCACGAUUUACAAUUCCAUUACUUAGACCAUUUAUUCUAUGAGAAACUAGACUCAAUAAUCUUUAAUUCCGUAAUUUUUGGUGAUUUGUCAAAGUUAGCCUAGUACUGUUAUCCAAAUAACAAGCAAUUUUAGCUUUUCGCCGAAUCUCAUUUUUCUGCGUUUCGGUUAACCACCGGUUCCGGUUUGACGUGUAGACACUCCCAAGACACUCAAAACCAAGAAUUGACAUUCCCAAACAUAGAGUCAAAUUUUAAUCGAGUUUUUAAAAUGCAAAUACGAAUGAACAUAACGCUAAUCAAGCGACCAAUGCUUACCCCACCACCCUUAGUGAUUUCAAUUACGAGGUGGCACGAGAAAGGCUCUAUUCUUCUCAAUUUUUUGCUGUCCAAAACAGAAAAUCAUAACCUUUAGUCGGUAAUCGAAUGUGAAAACUACAAUAACUUAAGUCACUUACCAAAUGGGGAAAACGCAGCGAUCAAACAGAAUCCCGAACAAGGAUACACGUCUUGGUCAAAAUAAUGAAAGGAAGAAAAAGCGAUUUGCUAACACAAAAAGAAAGAAAAAAGGCAGAGGAUAAUUCGAUUGGGGGAAUGGAAGGGAAGACGUGCAGAUUUUUUUUGGGAAAAAAAUAAAAAAGAAAAAUAAAAGACUAACAGAAUAUUCGAUAACCACCCUUAAUCUCUUAUUUUUCUCAUAAAAACAGUCCACCACACUCCCACUAUCUCUCAAACUCCCCAAAAACCGUCCACCAUAUUCCCUCAACAGUUGAAUUCAAACUUCACUCAAACACUUCAGUAUUUUACUUCCCUUCAAACUCCCACACGACAUAGAUAACAAAAAAAUAACUCCCUUGCAUGCAUAGGGAUUCGAACUCCAGACCACCAACAUAUUAGCACUCACCUAACCAUUAGACUAGUAGGCCCAUUCUGUUAUAUUCUUAUAACCAAACAAAUACAAGCCUACUGAACAAGAGUGAGGCUUUAUUCAGAAAUAUUCCAAAAUUUUGCCAAAGGCAUGGCUUCAAUUUAGGACCUCAUACACAUACCUAGAACACUUAACCACUGAAGCAAACAGAUACUUGCGUCAUAUUUUUACAAAAACAAAAAUAUACAUUUUGGGGACAUUACAACUCUACCCCCUAAAAGAAAAUUUCGGCCUCGAAAUUUACCUGAUCAAAACAAAUAAGGAUAUUGCUGAUGCAUCGUAUCCUUAGGCUCCCACAUGGCCUCCUCAGUUCUAUGAUUACGUCAUAGAACGUUCACCAAAAGAAUAGACUUCCUCCUUAGAACCUUUACGUCAUGAUCCAAAAUCUGGACAGGCUCCUCCUCAAAGGUCAAAUCUGGCCUAACCUCAAUCUCCUCAACAGGGACAAUAUGAGUAGGAUCAGAGUGGUAACGCCACAACAUAGAGACAUGGAACACAUUAUGGAUACGAUCCAAUGUUAGAGGUAACUCCAACUGAUAAGCAACUGGUCCCACUUGCUUUAGAAUACGGUAAGGUCCAAUAAACCUAGGGCUCAACUUGCCCUUACGACUAAACCUCAAUACAUUCUUCCAUGGUAAGACCUUGAGAAACACGAAGUCCCCCACAGAAUACUCGAUCUCACACCUCUUCAAAUCCACAUAAGGUUGCUACCUGUCAGAAGUCGAUUUCAAAUAAUCCUGAUUCAAUCUAACCUUAUCCUCUGUCUCAGAGACCAACUUAGGACCCAGAACACGUCACUUACCCAACUCAGUCCAACAUGAAGGAGUGCGACACUUACGACAAUACAGUGCCUCGUAAGGUGUCAUCUGGAUACUAGACUGGAAGCUAUUAUUGUAGACAAACUCCGCUAACAGUAAGUACUCCUCCCAACUGCCUCGAAAAUCACUAACACAGCUCCUCAACAUGUCCUCCAAUAUCUGAAUCACCCUCUCUGACUGACCAUCUGUCUAAAGAUGGAAAGCAGCACCGAAGUCUAAUCUUGAACCCAGAGCUUCAUGAAGCUCCUUCUACAAUCGAGAUGUGAAACGAGGAUCUCUAUCGAAAAUGAUCGAGACAGGUACCCCAUGCAGUCUCACUAUUUUCGAUACAUGGAGCUUAGUUAAUUUCUAAAGAGAAAAAUUGGUCCUUACCGGGAUGAAAUGAGCAGACUUGGUCAUUUGAUCCACGAUGACCCAGACAGAAUCCUUCUUAGUGAGUGUUAGAGGCAACCUACUAAUGAAGUACAUCGUUACUCACUCCGAUUUCCAUAACGGUAUCUUAACCAGCUGCAGCAAACCCGAAGCUAACUGAUUCUCAGCCUUAACUUGCUGACAGGUCAAACAGCGAGCAACGAAGUCAGUAACCUCACGCUUCACCCCUGACCACCAAUACAAUUCCCAAAGAUCUCGGUACAUCUUGUUCCCGUCGGGAUGCAUAGGAUAGGGACUACCAUGCGCCUCUCUCAGAAUCGACUGCCUUAAAUCCUCAUCAUUUGGUAUACAAAUCUGACCACGGAAACAAAGUACCCCAUCACUUUUUAUCCCAAAGUCAGUAGUGCAACCAUUCUCAACCUAACAAAAACACAACCUGAGAGACUUAUCCCCCAACUAUUUACCUUGAAUCUAUUCAAUCCAUGUUGGUUUGACCUAAAGUUUUGCCAACAGACUUCCAUCGUCGAAUAGGCUAAGUCGAGCGAACAUUGCUCUCAGAUCAGUCAUAGCCCUACGGCUCAACGCAUCAGCCACCACAUUGGCCUUGCAAGGAUGGUACUCAAUGGUACAGUCAUAAUCCUUAAGCAGCUCAACCCAUCUUCACUGCUGUAGAUUCAGUUCCUUCUGAGUAAGGAGAUACUUGAGGCUUUUGUGAUCAGUGUAGAUGAUACACUUCUCACCAUACAAAUAAUGCCUCCAGAUUUUGAAUGCAAAGACUACGACAGCCAACUCUAGAUCGUGCGUCGAAUAGUUCACCUCAUGUAUCUUAAGCUGACGAGACGCAUAUGCAACUACCUUUCCAUCCUACACCAACACACAUCCCAAACCAACAUGUGAUGCAUCACUAUAAACCGUAAACUGCUUUCCAGGUUCAGGCUAUACCAAAACAGGAGCCUAAGUCAGUACAGUCUUAAGCUUCUCAAAGCUUUCUUGCUGCGCAUUAGUCCAGUCAAACGGUACACAUUUACAUAAUAGCGUAGUCAAGGGUGCUGCGAUCAGUGAAAAUCCUUCCACAAACCAUCAGUAAUAACCUACCAACCCCAAAAUGCUGCAAGUCUCACACACAUUCUUAGGCUGCUUCCAAUCCAAUACAACCUCAAUUUUUUGAGGAUCGACUCGAAUCCCCUCAGUAGACACCACAUGACCUAGAAAUAUUACUUCAGGUAACUAGAACUCGCACUUGCUAAACUUAGCAUAUAGCUACUUUUCCCUCGAAAUCUAAAGAACAAUCCUAAGGUGCUCAUCAUGCCCAUCUUCAGUCCUCGAAUAAACCAAUAUGUCAUCGACAAACACCACUACAAACUGAUCCAGGUAGAGCCGAAACACUCGGUUCAUCAGAUCCAUGAAAGCUACCAGUGUAUUAGUCAGUCCAAAUGGCAUUACUAUGAACUCGUAGUGACCAUAACGAGUCCUAAAUGUCGUCUUAUGCACAUCAGCCUCCUUAACCCUCAACUGAUGAUACUUAAAACGUAAGUUAGAUUUAGAGAACACAGACGCCCCUCGAAACUGGUCAAACAAAUCAUCAAUCCUUGAAAGGGGAUACUUGUUCUUAAUAGUCAACUUAUUUAGUUGUCGGUAGUCGAUACAUAUCCUUAUGAAUCCAUCCAUUUUCUUAACAAACAGUAUUUUACUUCCCUUCAAACUCCCGCAUGGCACAGAUAACAAAAAAAAUCCUAAACUGACAGAAAUAAAAAGAAAAGAUUGACAGAAUAUCCGAUAACCACCCUUAAUGCCUUAUUUUUCUCUUAAAAUCAGUCCACCACACUACCACUAUCUCUCAAACUCCCCAAAAACCGACCACCACAUCCAUUCAACAACCGAAUUCAAAAUUCACUCAAACACUUUAGUAUUUUACUUCUCUUCAAACUCUCACACGAUACAGAUAACAAAAAAAAUAACUCCCUUGCAUGCACAGGGAUUCAAACUCCAGACCAUCAACAUAUUAGCACUCCACCUAACCACCAGACCAACAGGCCUAUUCUGUUAUAUUCUUACAACCAAACAAAUACAAGCCUACUGAACAAAUGUGAUGCUUUAUUCAAAAAAUUUCCAAAACUUUUCCAAAAGAAUGGGUUGAACUUGGGACCUCAUACACACACCUAGAACACUUAACCACUGAAGUAGACAUAUACUUGUGUCAUAUUUUUUCAAAAACAAAAAUAUAUCUUUUUGGGGCAUUACAUUUUUGUUGCUGAAGUUUCAAGUUGUAUAAUGGCUCUAAGUUACUGAAAUUUUAAGCUCUAUAAUGUCUCUAACUUGCUGUGGAAAUUUCAUGAGGAAGAUGGCCAUUUGUUUUGUUUUGUUUUAUUUAAUUUACUUUUAAUUACCUAAUUACCAUUUUACCCUUACCUAACAUUAAAAAUUACUUAAUUACCAAGCCAUGCACACGCACUAACUUAUUUAAUGGUAUAUUUACCAUAUAAGGACCUCCACUUUAAAGUUCUAUAGCUAUUUAACACUUUUAGCUAAUAGAACACAACUUUCUCAAUUUAUGCAAUUUAGUCAUUUUUCACAAAUUGAGCAUACAAAAGAUAAAAUUUCUUAACGAAAUAUUUAUGCAAAAUACUAUCAUGUUGUAAACCAAAAAAUAAUAUUAAAAUAAAUUUUAUGACCUCAGAUUUGUGGUCCCGAAGCCACUAUUAUGAUUUCACUAAAAGUGAGUCGUUACACUUAGAUAUGGUAGGGAUGUCACAGCAACACUCCUAAACAACUCGACUCCAUUAGAUCGAAGCUUCUCAAUAAUGGUCCAAUGACUACAAGAUUCGUUUUGGGAUUCAACCACUCAUUGAAGCACCUUAAGCAUGGCCUACGAUACAACAUCUUUAGUAGGCUCCUGAUGACUACCUUUAGCUGUAGUUGCAUUCUCAACAUGCUUGGGCACAAGCUCAGGUGUACCCACUUGAGAUGCAGAUGAUGCAAUUUGGCUAUCGCAACAUUGUGCUUCAUGGGCUCCCAUGCCACAAGUUCAUACACAUCGAAUGUUCAUUUCAUUAUCGCGAGUCUAAGUUAUUGUUAUUAAUCCUGAGUGUUUUUAGUGUAAUAGUUUACUAAAAGUUCACAAUCUAUAGUCUUUCUAUAGUUUUAGUAAUAAAAGUUCUUAUCUAGGAUCGACUUCGGACUAUCGAUUUUUUGUUUUGAAAAAAAUAAGUACAAAUUUAUUGAACAACCGAAAUGUGCAACUGUAUACAAUCAUAACAAGUAAUAAAGUGAUAAGUAUAUCGAGUUAUCAUCUCCAUAGGGACUGAAUAAGCAAAUAUCUAUGAAAUGUAUAAUUACACAAAUUGGAAGUAGAAAAAUAUUUUGAGGAAAGUCAGUUAUUAUCUAGACUAAAAAUUAACCAAGUAACAAAUUAAAUUAAAUUAAAUUAAAAACACAAGGGGAAAGCAAAUCAUUAACAAGUUUAAUCAAUAUGACAUAGUUGUGUUAGAUUAAUUUUAUUCUUUAACUUAGAUUAUUAAAACAAUGUUUAUGAUGUUACGAACAAUUCCAUGACAAUUUGGUCUUUUGUUAACCAAUACAAACAUACUUAUUAAAAUCAAUUAAUUUUUCUAGCAUAUGUCUAUGUCAAAUUAAUUAAUUAAUUUUAAUAAGUAGACAUAAUACAAAGUGAAGUAACAAUAUAUUUUUAUACUAAAACAAAUUUAAUCACUACCAUCUUUAGGUUAUGCAAGGUAAUAAUAUCGAUUAAUACUAUUACUCAUUUAAUCUAAUUUUACACUUAAGUAGAUUAAACAUGCACCAAUUAGAUAUUUUGUCAAUUAAUUAUAAUUUCAUUUUGAUUAAAUAGUUAAUUCAAUUCCAAAAUUACAUUUAGAAUUCAAGAACAUAGGAAUGAAUUUAUCUAAUUCAACAAAUUACUACGGUCUGUAACACCACAAACAUGAUUUCAACAAUUUAAGUAGACAGAAUCUAAUCAAUCUAACACAAACAUAAUUUAAGUCAUUUUAAUUAAAUUGGAAGCAUCAAAACAAUUAACAUUCAUGCUCAUGAUCUCAAACAAAUUAAAAAGAAAUAAGAGAAUGAAAUUAUAAGACAAAUUCAAUGUUUCUCCGAAGUCAGACCAACGUGCAUCCCUGUCGCUCUACUUUUUUUUGUUGACCAAGGACCUUCAAGAAUGUCAAAUUUUGUUGCUUCAAAAUGCUUUCAAGGCUAUUUUUCAAGAGAGAAAAAUUGGAAAUGGGAGAGCAAAUAAGAGAAGAUGGAUAAGAGGAAAAGAUGAAUGGUGAGUGAAUGAGUGAAUGAGUGAUGAAAUGGAAGGCAUGGAGGGUUGCUAUUUAUACUCGUUUGAGGAGGCUAAAAAUAGCAUGGGAGAGCCUUGAUUCUCUCCUCCCAUGGUCUGCCCUUGAUAUUAGGUAGAGAGGUUGGGAUGACUUUGCUAAAUAUGGUUUGGUGCCAUAAAGGGAAGGCUUGAAAAGUGGAAGGGUUGGAAUUACUUUGUGAGAGAGUUUAAGGGCUAUUUUAAAAUUAUUUUAAUGAGAUUUAGGCAAGGGCUGGACUGUUUUGCUUUGCUUCAUGGGCUCGUCCUUCUUCCAUCCUCAAUUGGUCCUUAAGGGCCUUUCUUUCUACAUCAGGUUGUCCAGAUUUAUUGACCGAAAUUUACAUUGACUCAAGAUAAUUUUUAGAGAGUAUGAGAAUAUUAAUUUGGGAAGUCCAUGGAUGUUAAAUUAUGAGCUAAUGCUUCGAAGAUGCUUUAGCAUUUAAAUCCUCCUAAGGUGACUUCAAGGUUAAUUUUAAUUCCAUUGCACAAAACCUCUCGAAAUUGGUAGAAUUAUAUAAUUUAAUAUAAGAAUAGCUAAAAAAUCAAGAUGUGUAUUAAAUUAUAUCCAAUUUAGUUAUUUUAUAAUGAAAGAAAAAAAUUUUAUAGAAAAUACUUAGAAUUUGCAUGAAGUAAUUAUGAGAAAGUGCUGAAAAAGUCUAUAUAUAUUAGUGUUUCCACUUUUGUAAAAUAAAAUUUACCUGUGGCAUGGUUCCCAAAAUACCCUAUUUAAAAUAUGCUCACAGGUUUAAGAAAAAUCACUUAAUGUAACCUCCUAAACCCAACCUAUAUGUUAUGGCCGAAUCUUGAAAAUUACAUUGGCCAUUGGAAUGGCAUUAAAAAACACUCCUAUUUUAAAUCACUCUUCAAAACCAAUUUCCAUUUUAUUUAAGACUGGUGAUCUUAAUUAUUUGCUUUGUUUUAAGAAAAUUGUAUAAUUUCAAAAUCAACAAACAAUUUCAGAGUUUCAUUUGUAAAAAUCAAUUAUUUCAAAAAUACUAAGUUAUAUUUGUUAAAAACAAAAUUUUAAAUAUUGCAGUAAAAAUGUAUUAAAAUCAUAUUAUUGUUAAAAAUCGAUUUUUUAUGCAUUGUAAAUAAAACAUCAGUCGGUAGAUAAAAACUCCAAAUCAUGAAAAUAUAAAAUAAAAAUCCCUAAAUAUAAAGUCCCGUACCACAGUCCAUAAAAAAACAUUAUAGUCACAAUAAUAAUGAUAUAAUAAAGUUUUAAGUAUUUAAAAUGAAACCAUUCAAGAACCCCUUGAAUAGCUGCAUCAAAGUCCUAACCUUAAGGAUUGUCUGAAUUCAAAUAAAAAAAACAAAGGGGCUGAGCUAAUAAGCUCUGGGUGAGUCUUAACUUAUAUAACAAACAAUAAUUUAAAACAUACAUUUUAGAGUAUAAUAGAAAAUAUAUAUAAGUAGUCCAAUUUCACAUAUGUCAAUAUGCAUGUUAAUGUCGAUGCAGAGUUUUAUAGAAAUGUUCGUACUCAACUUUGCUACACACCAUAAAACAAUUCCUCAAAAAUCAUCCAACUAAUAACACACAAAAAUUGUGAACAAACCGCUAGAUAUUGUAGAUUGUUAAACUAAGCUAAGAUUUUGAUAUAACAAAUAAAAAAUGUUUUUAAAUAUAAGCUAAAAUUAACAAAAUAAUUUUAAAAUUUGAAGUCUAAAAUAUAAAACUUCGAAAUAAUUCUAAAAUCAAGUGCAAAUGAUUUUAACCAAGUCAAAAUGAUUUUAACCAAGUUAAAAUCAUUUUAAAGUGAUUUUCAAACAACUCAAAUUUGCUCCAGGACAAAGGGUAUUGAUACCUUAUGGAUAGGAUUGAUAAUUUUGGAAAUAUCGAUACUCCUAGAAAAGUCGAGACCAAAAAGGCAUUCUGUUUUUAGAAACCCUAAAAGUCAUCGAUACUAUGUUUUCGGUAUCGAUACUUUUUGAAAAGGCAUAAUUACAAAAAAGCCCUCAACCUUAGGGGGCUUCUGGAUUUAUGCCCUUAACCUUUUUUUCUGAUUUUUGCAAUCAACAUAACGGAUUUUUCAGACAUCAACCUAGUUGAAGUGGUAAUCGUCAUGUAACUGUUAGUCAACAACCAGUUAAAAAAUUUGGUCUAUGUUGCGUUCCAGUUGAUUGAUGACGUGGCAGGCAUUUAAAUAAUAAUGUCGUGGAAAAAAUUAAACAAAUUUAAUGAACAUAAAAAAACCCUAAAUCCCCCAAAUAAUCUUAAACCCCCAAAUUUCAAACUUUUUUCCCAAAUUCCAAAAUCCUUAAAUCAUGAAAUCCCCCAAAUCCAUAACAUUUGAAAUCUUUAUUGAAUCCCUAAAAUCUUAAAAUCCCUAAAUCGUUAGCAUUUGAAAAUAUUCUUGAAAUCCCUAAAAAUUUUAUGAGACAAAUCAUUGAAUCCCUAAAACUUUUACGAACGAAAAAGCUUCAACAAUCGUGAGUAGUUUCUGUAACCCAAAAUUGAAAAGUAGGUGCUUUCUUAUUUGGUUUGUUGGGAAAAUAAAUUCCAUUUUUUGUUUGGUUUGUUGGUUAUUAGUGACUUAUUAUUGCAAUUUCAAUGCCACAAUGUAUGGUUUGUUUUGUCGAUUUGUGAUGCAAUUGCAGUAGCUUCCACGCCAACAAGAUACGGACAGCAAAGCCAAAGCAAUACUAAACAAGCGAGAAAAGCCCUAUAUAUUCUAUUAGUAAAGCCUAAACGUCCUUAUUGAAAACUAAAGCGCUAAAGAGGAAGAAAAGACCCCUUACUAUAGAUAGGCUAACGCGCCUUUACUAAUAUUAGAAUAGUUGGCGCUUCUUUCUCAAAGUCAAGUUUCUCGCUUGUUGUUUUAGAAAGAUUGCAAGGGCACUCACGUUUUUUGGCUCCUUCCCAGCCUGGAAGUUCGCUUCUAGCGACUAGCUUCUACUGCUAGCGCUUGGACUUGGAAGCAAGCUACAGCUACCUUGAAUCAAUUAAUGAAUGAAUAAAAAUGCCUGCCAAGGAAUAGAAAGGAAGGACAGGUU
RNAcentral lists this long non-coding RNA (62186 nucleotides) under Gossypium barbadense (sea-island cotton). RNAcentral's name for it is "long non-coding RNA (GBAR_LNC014354)". The record is from RNAcentral. Lineage: Eukaryota; Viridiplantae; Streptophyta; Magnoliopsida; Malvales; Malvaceae.